AGGGUUUUCUGAUUUUUUUUUUGUUUUGGGCUAGGGUUGUGUUGAUAGUUGUAUUGGGCUAGGUUUUUGGGCUGGGUGUAGUUGGACUAGAUGCAUCUGACUUUGGGUUUGUACCGGGUCACUGUAAAUGGGUUUGGUUUUUAUUGUUAUUGGGCUGUGAACUAUUUGAGUUUUAAUUAAUUUUUAUUUAUUUGGUUUUUUAUUGUGGGCUGGGCAAAUUGGGUAUUACAAUCAGCUAAUUAGGAAAGACUGUGAUGAUAGUCACACCUUACAUCCAAAAGCAAAGCUUUUUACAUGUGUAUGUGAGGUUGCUAAGCAAAUCUGAUGAGCCUUCACUGAUGUUUUAAGGUUAAGUUAAUGUUCCUUUUCGGCAAAGAACAUUAUCGAGAUCACGGUAUUUUGAUCGCCUUUUGCUUGUUAUGUUAUUUGUUCUGAAACGAUUGCAUAAUCUUUACUGUGAUUGCAGGAUAUAGAGCAACUUCUGAAUUUCAUUGGUGUAAAGAGUUGAGGACCACGACAUGUUCUUGCAAAUUUGAAGGAGCUUCUAAGGUCUGUCCGGUCUUCAGAAUAUAUAGAUACCUGAAUUAAUUUUGAUUUUGUAGGAUCAACUAUAAUUAGCUACUUAUUACACUAUGAAUAGACAACCUCACCUUCUUCACACACUACACGUGCGGAUUUUUUACCAAUCCCAUUUCAAAGGAUCACACUUUUUUGUUGUUUACAGAAUCAUAAUUAAUGUUAAUUAAAGUGGAAUAUUUCAGAUUUCUGAUGAUGAGCAUAUUCUUGAGUAUUGCAGUAAAAAAAUGGGUGUGGAACUUAUUUGAACUUUGAAUGUAUGUUCUGUUGGUGAGAAUAUAAAGUUGAUAAAGAUUUGGUAAAUAGAAUAAAAUAUUAUUUUUAUUAGAAAAAUUAUUUGGUAGACUGCCAAUCGAGUUAUAAUUAUCAUGACGUAAAACAUGUCAUAUUACAAAUAAUAAAAUUAUAAUGACUCAAAUAUACGAACAUGUCAAAAUUUACGUAAAACGAAUUAUUAACAUGUCAAUGUAUAAUACGGUACGCAAAAAUAGGAUAAUUGCUUGUUUUUUAAAUUGAAUUGUUAUAACAUAUUAUACAAAAUACAUUGUGAAUUAAAGCAUAAUAUGAACAUGAUAUCAAAAUAUUAAAUAUUUUUUAAAAUUUGAUGAUACGAAUAAUUAUGUAAAAUAUAACAUGAUACAAAAUAACUUGAGAGGAAAAGAGGAAUAAAGAAUUGCAUUGUUUGUGAGGUUUUAAAAUAUUCCAGUUUUAGAUUCAAUUUUCUAGUAUGUUUGGUUUAAUUUUACAUUAGAUUUCCUUUUUAGUAUGCACUAGUGAACGCUUGGCAGUUAAUUUAAUUUAAUUUAAUUUAAAGAGAUAUUGCAUAUACAUAAUAAUGGAUUAUGAUUUUACAUUAAACUUCAUAGAAGAAAAAAGAAAUAGACGGUUGAAAAUGAUAAAACCAUAAGAUAAAAGAGCUUUUAUUUAAAAUGCAAAAAUCAACAAAAUAUGCAUUAUCGCUCAACUUAGCAUAAUUAAACAUUUAGGUGUGGAAAUCAAAUCACAAUUUGAGUAGCUAAACAUAUCGCUUGAAAAUGUGAUAAGUAAGAAAAUUGCCCACAUUUGAGUAGCGACAGGUGGUAAUGCAUUUCCCAACAAGAGAAAACCAAGCUCUUCGCCAGUAUGGAUUUAUGUAGAGGACAACAAAAAUUGUUAACAACACAACUACAUAAGAAACCAAAAAGCUCACACAAAAAUCAUAACUAUCUAUCAAACCAUCUUCUCCUUUAUCUUCUGAUACAGUUGAUAUUGUUGAUGGUGAAUCGGUUUUGGAACAACUUUUAUGCAGUAUAGGUCCACAAAGAAAAGGGUUUCCUUCAUAACUGUUUUCAAUAAAGGUCUCAAAUUGAGCUUUUGGUUCGGGAAUACUACCUGACAAGUUGUUAAAUGCCACGCUGAAAACCUCCAAAGAGUUUAACUCUACCAAUUGAUUGGGGAUUUCACCACUUAAGUUGUUGUAAGAAAGGUCCAAACUCUCAAUUUGAUGUAGUUUUGAGAGUGACGAGGGUAUAACUCCGGUCAACUUAUUGUGUGAAAGGUUUAAAGAAUGGAUUUCACUCAAGUUCCCUAAUUCUGGUGGGAUAUGACCAGUUAAGUUGUUGCAAGAUAAAUCAAUCCCAGUCAUAUAUGAAAGGAUGUCGCCCUUGUAUGAAUAGAACCCACUCUUUGUUGUGAACUCUAUUACUUCUUCUAAGUAGCUACUAGGAUAGUAAGAAUCCAUUCCCAAAUUUAGUAUCAUACUGCGUGUUGUUUCAUCCUCUUCUAUAGAUGGCCCAUAGAACCAAGUUUCUAGAAUCUUCUUCGUUUGCAUUGGAAGAGAUAAAUUUCCCAAACAAGAAGGUAUAGGACCAGAAAACAUAUUUUGAGAAAGAUCUAUGAUGCUUAAAGAAUGCAACUUGCAUAACUCAAUAGGAACUUUACCAUGAAAAUGAUUAUCUUUCAAGAGAAGAACACUCAAAGAAGAAAGCGUGUAAAUCCAUUUUGGAAUACUACCUGUCAAAUUGUUUCCUCUAAGAUCUAAAGUCACUAUUGAAGAGCUAUUAUAAAAAGCAAGUGAUAGUGGGCCUCUCAGUCUAUUCCCGUGGAGGUGGACAUGCUCUAUGUAUGGUGGAUUAAAACAUGACGGUAUAGAGCCAGAUAAAUUAUUUUGAGAAAGAUCCAAAAAUUCCAACCUAUUCAACUUGCAAAAUUCCAUUGGAAUGGAACCUUCAAAACCAUUGUUGGACAUAGCUAAUCUCUGCAAAAACGAUGCAUUCCCUAUCCAUCUUGGGAGCUUUCCAUGCAACUUGUUGUUACUGAGAUCAAUUUCGCUUAGUGAAUUUGGAAACUCAAAAGUAGACACAUCAACAUUUGUCAUCUCUCCUGAAAAAUUAUUUCCAUCCAAAUAUAAAUGCUGCACCCCAUUUGCGCUGAGAAUCACAGGAACUACAUUUCCACUGAGGUUGUUAUUUGAUAGUCUCAAAAUGGUCAGUGAGCCUUUCGUGAUCAACUCUUCUGGUACUUUUCCAUACAAAUGAUUGUCUAAUAGAUCUAAAAAUGAUAAGUCCUUCAUGCCACUUAAACAAAGUGGGAUAUUAUCUUCAAAAGCAUUCUUGGAUAAGAAUAACCGACUCAAAUGUGGAAAAGUUGAACAUAUACCAGUUGGAAUUUGACCUUGUAAUUUGUUUUCAGAUAUGUCAAUUGAAGAUACAUCAGAAAUAAGAGCCGACGAAAGUGAGAGAGGACCUGUAAAUGAAUUACCCUUCAAGAUGAGAUCUUCUAACUUUGUGUUGUUUUCUAGCAACCAAGUUGGUACAGUUCCACUGAGAUUGUUAUGAGAAAGAUCCACAUAUCUCAAGUCAUAUUGGUAGUAAAGGAAGGUAGGAAAUUUACGAUUGAGUUGUUGAGAUGCUAUGCACUUUGGCAAUCUGAUGACUUCCAAUUGGAACUUUGGGAUUGAGGUAUAAAAGGAAGAUUCCAUUACCAUCUUGUUUUCAUUAAUCGAAAGGGCUUUGAGGUUUGAAAGGUUUGCAAAUGGUGCAAAUGACAGCGGAAUUUGAAAAUGGUUUCUUGAAACAUCUAACACACGAAGAGAUGUCAAGUUACUAAAACAACGAGGAAGCAUCCCCUCAAGUGCAUUGUUGCUCACAUCCAAUACUUCAAGGUUCUUUAGAUCACACCAUCCUGAAAAAUUUAUAAAUUCAUGGAAGAAAUUUUAAUUAAAUUUGGUCCUAUUAAAUAGAAUAGGAGAUAUUAUAUUACAAAAGCUAGUAAAGAAAUCAAUUUGAGCCAUAAAAUUAUUUACCUUGAUUAGGUAAGGGACCAAUAAGUCCACAAUGAUAUAAAGACAAUGUUUUAAGAGAAGCGAAUACUCCAAUGCUUUGCAAAAUGUUGGUGUUGAGAGUAGAAUAGUCAAGAUAUAUUUCCUCCAAACUGCUCGACACAUUUGAAUCUAAGCAAUGUCAAGAGGUAUUAGAUAACGGUAUUAUAGAAAGCCUCUACUAAGUAGAAUGCUUUAUUUUCUGUGAAUGAAAUGAAGUAUAUAAAUAUAUAUAUAUAUUUUUUAUGAGUUAGAUUAUUCAUGAUUUAUCUGAGAUAAAUUUUGAUAGAGAGAAGAUGUUGAAACUUUAAUAUAACUCUUCAUCCAUUUUAUUAAUUAUACUAUUUUUUUUCUUUUUAGUAUUUUCUUAUAUUAUUUUUUAAUAUAAGUAAUUAACUGAUAUAGCUAAGUUGUAUAAUUUUCAAACUCCAAUCAACAACACUAUAAAUAAUAUUUAUAAAAUAAAACAUGUCUACACUAAAUGUAUGUUUAAAUUUCAUAAAAUUGAAGAUAUUUUUAAAUUAUUCAAAAUUCACAUGUCUACACUAUAAAUAAUAUUUAUAAAAUAAAACAUGUCUACACUAAAAUUAUUAUAUUACCUUUAAAGAUGCCAAUAGUAUAUAAAAAAAUCAAAUAGGUAUUUUACUCAACAAUAAAUAAAACUCAAAAGAAUUAUAAGUAAACUCAGCGGAUUAAAUGAAAAUUUUAAAGCAUUAAAUCUUGGCCCAAAAAUAGAGUUAAGUUAAAAUUCAAAAUUCAAAAUUAUUUUAUUAAUAUUGUUAAAAUUAUUUUAUUAAAUCCAUGUUCAUUACGUCAUUUUUUUAGUUACAUUACUACUAAGUUUUUUUUUUAUUUCAAAAUGUCACACCAACAAGCUAUUUUAAAAUUUUAACAAUUUUAACAAUUUAACUAGGAUUUUGAUUUUUUUUUAUAAAAAAAACAGGGAUUAAAUUCUUGAAAAUAAAAGUAUAAGAAUUAAAUUACAAAUUAGUAAAGAGUACAUAGACCUAUCAUAUUUUUUAAAACCAAAAAGUUAAAAACAUAUGCACUUUGAAAUUUAUAAAAAGAUUGCAAUGGAAGUUUAAGCACCUCUCAAUGUAUGUUUAAAUUUCACAAAAUUAAAGUUUUUUUUUAAAUUAUUCAAAAUUGACAUUUAUUUAUUUUUGCCAAAAAAUGCCAUUUAUUUAACGCUAAUAUGUAUUUUUAUGUUUUAUACUAUUAAAAAUAUAUGAAAUUAAAAUAUAGUUAUAUUACAUAUUUUCUCAUAAAUAUAUGUUUUUAUUUAUUUAUAAUAUCAUUUUUUAUUGUUAUAAUUAUUUUUUAUCUCAUAAAAAUUCAAUAAAUUAUUUUAAAAAAUAUAUUUAUACAAACAAAAUAAUUAUAAACAUUAAUAUUUUAAAAUGAUGAAAAUUUUAAAGAAUUUUAGUUUCAAACCAAAGUCCAAACACAUUAUAAUGGAUGAUUUAGAAAAUGUUUCACCAAACCCAUAUUUUACUUUCAAGUAUGAUAUGAUAUAACUUUAUUAAUAUUUAUGACAAUAACCGUUAUUAUAAUAUUUGACAUCAAAACUAAAUUUCUAAAUUAAAAAAAAAAAGGAAGUUUAAUUAAAUGAUACCUUGGUGGAUCACCAAAUCUUUCAAUUCAUUAUAGCUCAUAUCUAGUUUCCUUAAGUUGAUAAAUGCUUCCAAAUCUAGGAAAACAAAAACAACAAAUCAACUUCAUUAUAUUCUCUUAAAACAUUAUUAUAUUCUUGUUAAAAAACUAAUACUUUUACCUUUCAUAUCUAUUGAUCCUUUCAAUUCAUUGCCUCUUAUGCUCAAAGAUUUCAAAUUUGAAAGCUUGUUAAGGGAUGCAAAUACACUAGUAUUGAAGUGAUUUCCAUCUAAAUUAAGCUCUUCCAAGUGGGUCAAUUCCAAUUUUCUACCAUCAUCUACAAAAGAUUUAUAUAAUUUCAUCAUCUACCAUCACUAAUUUCAUCUACCAAUUUGUUAAAUUGCUCAAUCCUAUACAUAUCCACGUACAAUUCAAAAAAUCAUUAUGUUAAUAAUUUUAAUUUCUACUUAAUAUUUUAAUGAAAUAAAAAUGAAAAAAAAAAGUAAAUCUAAAACUUGAAUUGAAGAUAAAAAUCCUCAAACGUGAAAUGUGAAUGUUCAAAUUUGAAACAAUUAAUUUUAAAAGGCUCUAGAAAGAAUUAUCAAGAAAAACAAAGUUAUAGCUUUAGUACCUUUAGUAUCUAAUGAGCCUUGCAAACGGUUGUUGAACAAAGUCAAAGACUUUAGGCUUGAAAGCCCUUGAGGAAAGGAAAUUGUGUUGUUCCGAAAGAGAUUACCACUCAAAUAAAGUUCCUCUAAGUUUGUUAGCCUCAAUUGUGUUCCAUCUAUCAUUGGAAGAAAGUAAUUAGUAUAGUUAACAUCAUUCAAGAUAUAAAUAGUUAGGAAAAAUGUUUGUUUGAGAAGGAAGAGCCAAUUUACAAGCUUUCCGAUGAAUUGAUUCAAUAUAUAAAUACUUUGUUUGAGAUACCUUCCUACUUAAAUUACUCAAUUUUGAAAUUUAAUCCCAAAUAUUGAUUACUUAUAUAUAUUCAUGAUAUGAUAAAAUCAAAUGACUUAUUGCAACAACUUUUCCUUCAACAUGAAUUUAUUUUAAAGAAUGCUAUUCUUCAAAUAAUUCCAACUUAUAUCAAUAAUUUCCAAUUUAAUGAGCCAUUGAAAACCUCAUUUAUAUAUUAUAUAAUUAGUUACUACAAAACUUAAAUAAAUAAUAAUACUCCAUUUUUGCAAUAAAAAUUCACUAAAGAAAAUACAUUUGAAGUCUGUCAUUGCCUUUUGGAAUAAGAGUCGGUCAAGAAAGUUACUAUGCAGAAAUACUUAUACCUUUGUUUGAGAUGCUUUCAAUGUCGUUCCAACUUAAAUCCAAGUACUUCAAAUUUGUCAAAUUAUUCAAUCCUGAAAUUCAAUCCCAAAUAUUGAUCAGUUAUAUAUAUAUAUUCAUGAUAUGAUAAAAGCAAAGACAUAUUGCAACAUUAACUGUCCCUUAAACAAAAAUUGGUUUUAAAGUAAAAAAGAAACAUAUAAAACCAGUCUACCUUUAAUAUGAAUUGACAUAUAAAUACUGUACUUAUACCUUUGUUUGAGAUGCUUUCAAUUCUGUUCCAACUUAAAUCCAAGUAUUUCAAGUUUGACAAAUUAUUCAAUCCUGAAAUUCAAUCCCAAAUAUUGAUUAGUUAUAUAUAUUCAUCGUAUGAUAAAAUCAAACUUGAACAUACAUUGAUUUUUAAAUCAAGGAUGAAAGAUUUCUCAUAUGAAACAAAAUGCUAUUCUUCAAAGAAUUCCCACUUAAAUCAAGAGUUUCCAAGUUAUUGAGUCUUGAAAGCAAUUGAAAACCUGAUAUAUAUAUUUACUUGUUAAUUGUUUUUUCUUUCUUAGCCAUAUGAAAAUUUUACUAAAGCAAAAGUGGAAUUACGACGGAUAAAAAGAAUGGAAAACUAGGUACCAAGCCUAGAAGACCAUCCUCAAACUCCACUAUACAAAUAAAAACUAACAGCAGACCAAACUUAAUUUACCUCUUUGAUGACCUGAUCCUUCAAAUUUGUUGAUUGAUAGAUCUAAAUACCGGAGAGAUGAAAGCUCACUCAAAGAUAACAAAAUGCUAUCAUUCAAGUAAUUGAAACUUAAGUCAAGGAUCUCCAAAUUACUCAAUGUGGAUGAUAGUUUUCCAAAGCCUAUAGAAAUAUUCUUUUAAAUAUAUACAAGUUAGUGACUUUUCUUCCAUAAAAUAAAAUAAAAUAUAAGUAAUUGCAAAUUAACGAUGGUAAGAGUAGUGGGAUAAUAAAAGAUGUAAUUAAGGAAAAACUAGAGGCACGACCUUCAUUUUCAAGGUUACCACUUAUGGCAUUCCCCCGCAAAUAAAGACUCUUCAAUUCCUCAAAGGGAAGAAACAUAGAGGUAUUGAGAUACCAGGCAUUGAGAUUCCUAUUAUCCGUUUUGUAUCCCAUACUGUCAAACCAUCUUGUAGAAUUAAGGGAGAGUUGUAUGAGUCUCCUAGUGGUGGUGUUACACUCAACUCUUUCCCAUUUACAACAAUCUGAACCCUUCACCUCAACCCAACUUUGCAAUUGAUUUUGAUAAUUGAAGAAAGGCUUGAGAUGCAAGAGAGCGAUUCUCUCAUGCUCCAAACAAGCAUCAGUAGUACACCAUCUGCAUCCUUCUAACACCAACAACAUUACUGCCAUCCUAAUAAGCCUUAACCAUUUCCACUCCAUCAUCAUCAUCUCUCUGUUUUCACUUCUCUCUCAGUUAUAUGUUACUUUUUGUUAACUUCUAUAUGUAAAUAAUCUAAAGCAGCCUAACCUUCUUAUUUAUAUACAAGCAGAACAUACUGGAUCCCACUAAUUCACUAUAAUGUAAAAAUAAUAUAUAAUUAAUUAAUUCCUCAAAAAUUGGAUCAAAAUCUAGGCUUUUUAUUUACGUAAAUUCCUUAUUGCAAAAACUCCUGGUGGAAAUUCGUUAGGAAAGGAUGAAUGGACCACAAGAAUGUUGAUGUUAAUCUUGAAAAACGAAUGGCCAAAAAAAUAUGAAAAGUGAGAGGUGGACAUAAAAUCUUGUGGUUGGGGUUGCAAAAGUCUUCAUGUGGCUUUCUUGUGAGCUUCAUUUAUACCCUUCUUACACAUAUACAAACUUAGUCUUGACUUGGCUUUAUUAAUGGAAAAUUUAGGUCUUCAUUUUUGGUUUCAUUCAUGGAAAUUUUACUUCUUUGAUUUUGAUUUUGCUUUUAUUCUUGCACAUUUUAGGUUUUGAUUUUGAAAAUUUAGUUUUUUUCAUCUCUAUUAUUAUAAAAUUUCUUGAUUUAAUUAAUAUCAUGAGUUAAUUUAAUAUUUUAAAAAAUAAAAUAUUACAUUCACUAUUUUUAAAAAAAUAGGAGUAACUAUAAAAUUUAAUUAUUUAUAUAAUAUUUUUAUAAAAAAACUAUUUAUUUCUACUAGACCACUACUUUAAAACUAUCAAUUAUCAUAUAACUUCUCUUUAAUAAUUCACUAUUCUUUGAACAUUCAUUAGUUUUUGAAACAUAAAAUUUAUAAAUAAUUAUUUUUAAAAUGACUUGAGUUUUACUUGAAUCAUUUUUGUAAUUAGUUAAUUAAAUUGGGUUAUUUUUAAAAAAAAUCCUCUUAACUAAUAGCAAAAAAAAAAAAAGAAAAAAAAAAGCCAUCAUGUAGAAAAUUCUGGUUUGUUGGAAAGAUAAAGACUUGCACCAUUACUUUAAAUUUUGAAAUGUUCAACUUGAUAUUGACAUCUGAUAAUAUGUACAAAUUUCUCAUUGUUUUGAAUUUUAGUGAUAUUACACAUAUGAUAAUAUGUUUGUCACACCAAAUUUUGAAAUAGUAGAACUUAAUGAAUUUAACAAAUACUUAAUGAAUUUAAGAAAUAUCUAAAAUAUCAAAUUAAAGUCUAGGAAUUAAAUCUACAACUUCAGUAAAGUACAAGAACUAUUGUAGAAUUAAACCUUUAUAUAAUAAUUUCCUUCUAUGAACCACAAUUCAAGUGCACCCCACAAGCAACAUUAAAAAAUUGGCAUGUGUCUAUUUUUUUAAAAAUAUUUAUUUUUUUAAUAUUAUAUACUACACCUCUAUAGGAUACGUGUCAAUCCUUUAACUCUCCUUAUGGAAUUUAAAAACUCCACUAACAAUGUACCAAAUAUUAAUCCUAAUUAUUAUACUAUUCAUGGAUAAAGAUAAAAUAUAAUAUUUGCUUAAAAAUCUCAAUUAUAUAUAUUUGGUCACCCAUUGUGAUGUAAUAUAGCACCGUCUACAAAAUAGUUGGAGGAAAGUGUUAAGAAAAUAUCAUUACAUAUAUCAACAUUCGCAUAAUUCAUUGCAUUAACUUUCAAAUGUUAACUAUUGACUUCUGCGUCAACUUUGAGCUUAUAUAGGUCCCCCUCAUGGAAAUUGAGAAAAACAAAUUAAUAUGUAUAUUCUUGUGGGUGGAAAUUUAGUGGAGAUGCCCAUCAUCUUUCCUAAUUAAUAAAAAUGAAGACUUAGAAAAUGUGCAAUCAUAAUCCUAGUCGUCGUUAUGGCCCCAAGAAUAGUUAUCUUAAUUUGUCUCUCUUCAGGAUUAAAGAUAAAAAAUAAAUUUUAUAAAGUUAGAACUAUAAUUUUAUAAUUAUAUUAACAUAUAAUUUCAUAAAAUUUUAAAAAUGUAUCUUUUAAUUUUUUAAUUAAAUUGAUAAUUCGUUAACUCAUAAUAUUAUUUUAUUUUUCAAAAUAUUUACGAGAACGAGUUCGUAUUCUAUUGUGUGGAAAAUUUUAGUACAGAUUAUUAAGUUAUUGGAGAAGCCAAAUCCAACUUGUUUGACCAAGAAAGUUUUUGUCGCGUGGAAAAUGGACAUUACCAUUUCCUUGAAUGACCUUCAAUUUAAUGUAUUCACACCAAAUUUCAUUAAUGAGUAAAACAAAUAAUGAAUAAUAAUGAAAAUUGGAGGAAAUUGUUAAGAAAUUAUUAUUACAUAUAUCAACAGUCACAUAAUUCAUUGUAUUAACUUUCAAAUGUUGACUAUUGACUUUUACAUCAACCUUGAGCUUAUAUAGGCCCCCCUCACGGAAAUAAUCUCAUAAUUAAUGCCUGAAAAAUUAUUAUACAUCAAUUUACAGUUUUAAUCCCUAGACUUACUCAAUUGAAUUAAAAUUUUAGUUUUUAUUAUUUAAUUUGAACUAUUACUUUAGAUUUUGAAAUGUUCAACUUGAUAUUACAAAUUUCUCAUUCUUUUGAAUUUUAGUGAUAUUACACCUAUGAUAAUAUGUUUGCCACACCAAAUUUAGAAAUAGUAGGACUUAAUGAAUUUAAUAAAUAUCUAAAAUAUCAAAUUAAAGUCUAGAAAUUAAAUCUACAACUUCAGUAAAGUACAAGAACUAUGGUAGAAUUAAACCUUUAUAUAAUAAUUUUCUUCUAUGAACCACAAUUCAAGUGCAUCCCACAAGCAACAUUAAAAAAUUAAAAUGUGUCUAUUUUUUUAAAAUAUAUUUUUUUUAAUAUUAUAUACUACACAUAUAUAGUAUACGUGUCAAUCCUCUAACUCUACUUAUGGGAUUUAAAAAAUCCAGCAACAAUGUACGAAAUAUUAAUCCUAAUUAUUAUACUGUUCAUGGAUAAAGAUAAACUAUAAUAUUUGCUUAAAAACCUCAAUUAUAUACAUUUGGUGACCCAUUGUGACGUAAUAUAGCACCAUCUACAAAGUAGUUGGAGGAAAUUGUUAAGAAAAUAUCAUUACAUAUAUCCAACAGUCACAUAAUUCAUUGCAUUAACUUUCAAAUGUUGACUAUUGACUUCACGUCAACUUUGAGCUUAUAUAGGCCCCCUCCUCAUGGAAAUAAUGUCACAAUUAAUGCUUGAGAAAUUAUUAUACAUCAAUUUAUAGUUUUAAACCCUAUACUUACUCAUUUGAAUUAAAAUUUUAGUUUCAAUUUGAUAUAUUUUGUUCCUCUUAUUAAUAUUAAUGUUAUAGAUUUAUUAAAAUAACUAACAUUAUUAAUUCUCUAACAUUUAAAAAUUAAAAUUAUGUGGUUAUUAAAAUUAUGAUGCUAAAUUGAGAAUUAAAAAUUAUCAAGUUUUAAAUGAUCUCGGGAAUUAAGAAGAGAUCGUGUCCUAACUUAUUGGGCAUGAUCCUUUUUUUUCUCAAGUUUUAAAUGAUCUCAGGAAUUAAGAAAAGAUCGUGUCCUAACUUACUGGGCAUGAUCCUUUUUUUUUUAAAAUCUAAGAUAGCUAAAUAUUUUUUAAAUAAGUAAAUUUUUGGCAUUCAUUCGCGCAUCGGGAAUUCAAGACAUUGUGUCCUAACUUACUGGAUAUAAUUCUCUUUCUCGAUUAAUGUGAAUUAUGGCUUUUUCCCGAAAAUUUUCAACAUUUCAAUAAAGGAUCGUAUUUUAAAUCUCUUUAAAGUUUUCAAUCUUCGAUACUAAGACAUUAAUUAAUCAACUAGGUACCAAUUUUGGGCGUAACGAGGGUGCUAAUCUUUCCUCGUACGUAACCGACUCCCAAACCUGUUUUUCUGAAUUUCGUGGACCAAAAUUAUUAUUUUAUUAAAAUUAAAUUGUUUAUUAAAAAUAACCACUUUUCAAGGUGGCCCGAUCACACCUUAUCAAAAAGGAUUGGUGGCGACUUCCAUAUUCGUUUUCAUUUUUUAAAAUCCAAGUCGACCCCGUUUUCACAAAAAAAAAAAGUGUCAACAAUUAUAUUAAUAUAUAAUUUCAUAAAUUCUUUAAAAAAAAUUGUAUCUUUUAAUUUUUUAAAUUAAUUUAGUAAUUCAUUAACUCAUAAUAUUAAAUUUUUUAUUUUUCAAAAUAUUUACGAGAACGAGUUCGUAUUCUAUUGUGUCGAAACUUUUAGUACAGAUUAUUAAGUUAUUGGUGAAGCCAAAUCCAACUUGUUUGACCAAGAAAGUUUCAGUCGUGUGGAAAAUUUUAGUUUUGUGGAAAAUAUAGAUUAACUUCUAUAUAUGUAUGUAAUCUAAAGAAGCCUAAGCUUCUUAUUUAAUUAUAUACAAGCAGAAGAUAUUGCAUCCCACUAAUUCACUAUAAUAUAAAAAUAAUAUAUGAUUAAUUAAUUCCUCAAAAAUUGGAUCAAUCUAGGCUUCUUAUUUACGUAAAUUCCUUAUUGCAAAAACUCUCGAUGGAAAUUCGUUAAGAAAGGAUGAAUGGACCACAAAAAUGCUUAUCAACUCUUGACUUUGGCGUUCAAUGCUAAGUUCAUUUUAAAAUUCUUUCAUGGAGAGAAGAUGGGAUGACAAGAAUGAUAAGUUUUAAGUCAUUUAAGUUUACACAAAAUUUUAAUCACUCACAAAAAAUCAGUCUUGAUAUUCUAUUAAAAAAUUUAAACAUGGCUUAACGUUGAUUUUAAAUCUAAUGUCGAUGUCAAUCUUGAAAAACGAAUGGCCAAAAAAAUAUGAAAAGUGAGAGGUGGACAUAAAAUCGUGUAGUUGGGGUUAUAAAAUUCUUCAUGUGGACAUAAUAUAUUUUUUAUGCCCUUCUUACACUUAUAUAAAGUUAGUCUUGAUUUCGCUUUAUUAAUGGAAAUUUUAGUUCUUCAUUUUUUGUUUUAUUCAUGGACAUAAUAUUUAUUUUUAUUUUUUAUUUUUGUGUUAUGGUCUAUGUUCGAGGUUUAUGGCUAUCCCCUUUCAACAACGUCGUCUCAACGGUUCAAACAUACACUUGCAGGUAAAAUAAUACUUUUUAAAAUCACAAAUAUUUGAAAUAAUAUAUUGCAGCUAUAUAAAUGCUUUCUUGUUUAAGAUACUAAUAAAGUAAUUAACAAAGUAAUUAUUAUACCUAUAAUAAUUCAAAAUGCCACUUGUUAUCUAAUGAAGUAUAGGGGUGCAAAUGAGACAUCCGUACCCGCAAGCUAUUCGAAUUCGGCUCAAAAAAUUUUGAAUUUGAUUCGGUAAUUAUUGCGCCGAGCUAUAGGUCGAUCCGGAUUCAAGCUUAGUAAUACUUGACUCGAGUAGUUUGGGAGCCUUAUUGAACUUUUCAUAUUUUUAUAUUAUUAGAUUACAUUAUUGCCUUUAAUAUAUAUUGUUAACCCUAAGUUUAAUUAUUGAGGCGAGCUCGAACUCGAGUACAAAAAUUGAUAAACAGAUUUAAUUUCGAGCUUAAAAAUAUAUGUUCAAUCGAGUAUCAAGCUUUGAAUUUCAAAUUAAACUUGAGUUUAACCGUAUUGAGUUCGAAUAGAUUCAAUUACACCCUACAAUAAAAUAUACCAACAAAACCUACAUUCCAUAUUUGCUUAAAAACUUUGCUGUAAAUUUUAUAUAUGUGUGUGUUUAACGUGAGUUCCAUCUAUGUCCAACUUGAUGACGAUGAAAGUUCCUAUGGUGUAAAAAGUUUUAGUUAUGUGGAAAAAUAAGGUCUUCUCUUCACACGUUUAAUAUGCUUACUUGUGACGGUCAUUUCGGGCUUGACAUCAAUUUUCAAAAUGUUCUAAUUGGUGGAAAACUUACGUCUGCUUUUAUGAUUCUUUCAAGUCAAUUGGAGAAUGCCUCUGUUACACUUCAAAAGAAGUAGAUUUUGAACUCAACAUGAACCUGUGAGAUUUGAUGCCUAAAAUAUAGGUAUAAGGUUUCAAUUCAAGGAAAUGUUGGAAGUCCAGGAAAUUUCUUAGUCUCCUCUCUUUGGAUGUUUUUGAACAAAAAUGUUUUAAGUCUCUUCCGAUGCUAAACUUCUGAUUGGUCGUCGGUUCACUGACCCUUUGGUACACAGCAAUAUGAAGCAUUGGCCAUUCAAGGCCAUUGCUGGUCCUGGUGAUAAGCCAAUGAUUGUACUACUAUAGAUUUGAAAUGAUUGUACACAUCUGAUCGGCUCUUUGUAAAUUUAAAUCUUACAAAUUCGGAUAAUAUUCGAAUUUAAAUAUUUCAAUUACUAUCUGCAAUAGAUUAAAAACAAACGUGAUUAUCAAUCCUUGGAUAUCCACAUACAGAUUAUGCAAUACAAUCUCUUAAGGCAUAUAGAAUUUGGGUCUUAACCAAGCUAUGUUGCUUAAAAGCUUGCUAAAAGCACCCCUAACAAAGGGGUAAAUAAAUAAAAUAUCAAGCACCAGUUAUCAAAGCAGAUUGACCACCUUAUAUCUAUGUAUGCUACUACAAAACUUGCACCAUUAAAAUCUCAAGCUGGUAAUUGGAGCUUCAUGUUAUUCUUGCAGCUGCAGGCAUAAUAAUCAAAUAAGUUGCAAUCAUUCACAUAGGUACUAUGAAGUGCUUUCCAGAGCGUGAGAAACCUCUGGAAGUAAUAGUAGAAGAAAUCAGCAUAAAGCAAUGUCUGGACAAGACCGCAAAUCCAAGCUGAUCAAAGGCAUCAAUCAUGUAAACUAGGUGUUAGAAAUAACAAAUAUAGCAUAGAAUAUAACAAAUAAUGAAUAACAAUGAAUAGUACACGUUACCAUUUCCUUGAAUGACCUUCAAUUUCUCCAUUGAGAUAUAGUAAGAGGGAGUGGAAUAGAUGUAAGGUAAUAUUUGAUGUAUUCGGUAAAUGAAUAAUAACACCACAUUCCAUUAAUGAGUAAAACAGAUAAUGAAUAAUAAUGGAAGUUUUAUAAAAUAAAAAUAAAUUAAAUCAUAUACAUAUAAUGUAUUAAAUCUUAUUCGUGAAGUUCACAAUGAACAAAAUACUAAUCCAUAAUGGAGAAAAAUAACCUAAACUUUAAACAUUUGUUCAUUACUAUAAACAUAUGUACAACUUUUUAAAGGUUUUAUAUAAACUAUUAAAAGGUAUAAACACUCUCAUAAAAAUAUAUUAUUAAGUACGUCUUCUUUUACUAGGAAAGUUCCUAUCCUGUAGAAAAAUGUAGUUUUGUGAAAAAAGGUCUUCUAUGCACUAAUUUGUGGCAAUCACAUGGGGUUUGGGAAUUUCAAUUUUGAUAGCCAACCGAGAUUCACUAAAUUUAAAUUUUAUUAUGAUUAAUUACGCUCUUCGUUUUGGAGAAAUAGGUAAUCACAACAACUAAUUUAAUUAAAUGUAAUUUAAUAAUUAAUUUUUUUAUAAUUUAAUUACAUUAACUAUAUUUAAAUUUAAUAUUUAGUAUUUAUAUUUUAAUUUAACAUAAUUUAAUUCACUUACUUUUAUAAUAUUAUUAGUUCGUCUAAAUAGUUGACACCUUUAAUUAAUUCUUAUUAAAAUGUUAAAAAUGUUUAUACUUAUUUUCCAUGUUAAAAUAUAUAUUUUUUUGUGCUUUUAAAAACAAAAUUUCACAAUAUCAUUUCCCGAUAUAAAAAUUAAAUCUCAAAUUAAUUUAUAUUUUUGUAUUUUUUUAUAACUAAUGUUAUCAAGAACUCUUAAUAGUGCAACUGAUUCCACCAUAAUAUUUAUAUUCUUUAAAUAUGAUUUACAAUUUAUGUUUGGAGUUCGUGACUGUCAUUCUUAAUAAUGUCAUUUCUAAUGUUCGAACAUGCAUCUCCCCUUGAGAAUGCAAUAUUCAUUACUAUUGCACCUAAUUAUUUUGAUAAUUUAAUUUUAAAUAUUGACAUAAAAAUAUUUUUAAAUAUAUUAUUAAUAAAUUUAAUUAAGAUUAUAAAACUUGAGGUUUUUUUUAAUUCUUCAAAAAUGUCAUUUAUUUAUUUUUGGCCAAAAAAUGCCAUUUAUUUAACUCUAAUAUGUGCUUUUAUGUUUUAUUUUAAAAAUAUAUGAAAUUCUAAUGAUAGUUAUAUUACAUAUUUUUUAAUUUUAAAUAUCAUUGUUCUUUUAUAAUUUGUUUCAAGUAUGAAAUGAUAUAAUUUUUUUUAGUAUCUAUCACAAUAACCUUUACUAAGAAUUGAAACUAAAUUUCUAAAUUUUGAACAAAAAUGAAAGUUUAAUUAAAUGAUACAUUGGUGGAUUCAUUACCCCUCAUAUCUAGUUCCCUUAAGUUGAUAAAUGUUUCCAAAUCUAGGAAAACAAAAAACAACAAAAUCAACUUCAUUAUAUUCUCUUCCAACAUUAUUAUAUUCUUGUUAAAAAUCUAAUAUUUUUACCUUUCAAUCCAUUGCCCCAUAUGCUCAAAGAUUUCAAAUUUGAAAGCUUCUUAAGGGAUGCAAAUACACUAGUAUUGAACUGAUUUCCAUCUAAAUAAAGCUCUUCCAAGUGGGUCAACUCUAAUUUUCGACCACCAUCAAUAAAAGAUUUAUAUAAUUUCAUCACUAAAAUGAAUUGGCAUAAACUUUUAUUAUAUAUAAGAAUUUAGGUAAUUGGUUAAAUAUAAAUGCAUACCAUUUAAGGAUUGAAAGCUUUCAAUUUCAUUCCAACUUAAAUCGAGUUUCUUCAAAUUUGUUAAAUUGCUCAAUCCUAUACAUAUCCUCAUCCAAUUCAAAAUCUGAAAUUAGUAAAGAUAAAAUUGCACAUUGACCCCCUAAAAUUGAUAAAAAUUUAAUUUAAUUCUUUAAAAAUUAUAAACAUAUGUAGCGACCUAAAAAUUUCGGCACGGGCGCUAGUCGAAGUAAUUAUUGUAAAUUUGAAAACUGAAUCUCGAUUUUAUUUGAAAAAGGAGUCGCCACCGAUAUUUUUUCUAGGUGUGAUCGGACACCUACAAAAUUCUCUUUUUAGAAGAAAAAAUUAUUUUUAAACUUUUCUAAAAAAGAGGUAAUUUUAGGUCCACGUAAAAAUCCAGAGAAAAUUAGGGUCCGGGAGUCGGUUACGCGCGAGGAAGGUAUUAGCACCCUCGCAACGCCCAAAAUUGGUAUCUCGUUAAACGCGUGUUGUCUUCAUUUUCAAAAAUACGAGUUCAAUUUAAUAUUAGUCGUGAUCCGAUUGAACACGAGAAUUUUAAAGCGCAACAACUUUUUCUUUUUUGAAAACACGAAAAUUUUAAAAUACAAGAAUUUUAGAAACACAAAACUUUUUUUUUAAAAAAAACACGAAGAAUUUAAAACACGAGAUUUUUUAUUUUUAUUUUUGAAAACACGAUUCUUCUUUUUGAAACACGAAAAUUUUUAAAACAGAAAAUUUGUUUUUGAAAACAUAAAUUUUUUGAUAAAAUACGAAACACGAGAAAUUUUGAAGACAUGAAAAUUUUUGAAACACAAUUUUUCUUUAAAAAAUACCGUAUUUAACACGAAUCGAUGAUAUUCAUCCCGAUAUGGCGAUGAAACCAUCGAAUUAGUGUUAACUCAAUUCAAUUUAAUAUUUAAUCGGGAUUCUAAUAAAACACGAGAAUUUUUAUUAAAAUACGAGGAUUUUUGAAUAUUUUUAUUUUUAAAAGGGUGUCCCGAAUUUAACACGAGCUAUCGAUAUCCACCCAACAUAGCGAUGAAUUCGAUGACUUGAUGCUAAAUCGGUUCGUUGCCUUAUGCAUUAAAAUAUUAUUAUUUUUAAAAAAAAUAUGCAAUUAAAAUGACAUAAUAAUAUUUAUGAAAACUGUUUUAAAGCAUACUAAUUUAAAUUAAAUAAAACACCAUUUAAAUAAAUAAAAUAAAAUAAAAUAGAUUAAAAAGAAAAAAAGAAAAAAAUUACCCAAAAGCCCAAAGUUAUGGGCUUAAAUUUUGGGCCUCCCCUUUUAUUAUUUUUUUUGCUGUUGGGCUNNNNNNNNNNNNNNNNNNNNNNNNNNNNNNNNNNNNNNNNNNNNNNNNNNNNNNNNNNNNNNNNNNNNNNNNNNNNNNNNNNNNNNNNNNNNNNNNNNNNNNNNNNNNNNNNNNNNNNNNNNNNNNNNNNNNNNNNNNNNNNNNNNNNNNNNNNNNNNNNNNNNNNNNNNNNNNNNNNNNNNNNNNNNNNNNNNNNNNNNNNNNNNNNNNNNNNNNNNNNNNNNNNNNNNNNNNNNNNNNNNNNNNNNNNNNNNNNNNNNNNNNNNNNNNNNNNNNNNNNNNNNNNNNNNNNNNNNNNNNNNNNNNNNNNNNNNNNNNNNNNNNNNNNNNNNNNNNNNNNNNNNNNNNNNNNNNNNNNNNNNNNNNNNNNNNNNNNNNNNNNNNNNNNNNNNNNNNNNNNNNNNNNNNNNNNNNNNNNNNNNNNNNNNNNNNNNNNNNNNNNNNNNNNNNNNNNNNNNNNNNNNNNNNNNNNNNNNNNNNNNNNNNNNNNNNNNNNNNNNCUCUUUUUACUUAAUUAUUUAUCAAUUUACACUAGUUCGAGUUUUUGUAACAGUAUCAUGGAGACUUAUGUACUAGGAGUUAGAUUGUAUUUUGCCUCUUUUACUCAAAAAAUGAGUAAAUUAAUCCUUGUACGUUAAAUCAAUGAGCAAACUAGUCCUUUUAGUUAACAUUUUCAUUCAUUUUUACUAUUAAAAAUUGGAGUGACUAACGAAAUAACCAGAUAGUUACACAUUACAUGCCAAGGGUGAAGCCAGAAAAUUCUUUUAGGGGGCCGAAAUUAAAUUUUAAUUUUUAAUAGCUUAUAUCUUUAUAAUUUUUAAAUGAUUAAAUCAAAUUUUUAUCAUUUUUAGGAGGGGACUAAAGUGUAAUUUUAUCUUUACUAGUUUAAAUUUCUAAAAUUUCUAAAAAGCCUAAAUGGAUAAUUUUCAAUUUUAGAGGGGUCAGGGCCCUUGCCAGCCUCCCUAGAUACGCCACUGUGGCAUGCCACAUGUACCUCAUGUCAGCAUACAUGAACCCGUUUUUAACAGUUAAAAUGGAUGAAUUUUUUAGUAGAAGGAUUAAUUUUCUCAUUUUUUGAGUAGAGGAAAGAAAAUGCAAUCCAAUGCCUAAUACAAGGGCCUCUAUGUCUUUCAUUAUUACUCAAUUAUUUGUCAUCAAAAGUUGUAUAUGUUCAAAUAUAAAUACAAUAAAACACAUAUGUAGUUAUUAAACAUAUCAUGCUAAUGUCAUUGUUUCUUCUUUAUCCAAAAUUAUUGGACUUAUAAAAUUCUUGAGAAUAAGAAAACCCCAUUAAACUUCCUUUUAAGUAAAACGUGUGUUCAAAAUCUUGAACUAGGUUUAUGCAGCAAUAGAAAUUCACAAGCUGUUUUUUUUAUACAUGAGAUGUGAAUCUCAAAAUUUUAGGGUUUCUGAUCUCAUAUAUUUUGGGUCCAGAUUUAAUGCUAAGGAUUUGUUGAGAAAGUUGAAAGGGAAGAAAAUGAUGUUCAUUGGGGAUUCACUAAGCUUGAAUCAAUGGCAGUCUCUAACAUGCAUGUUGCAUGCAUUUUUGCCACAAUCAAACUACACUGUUCACAGAGAAGGGAACCUUUCGACCUUUUAUUUGCCUGUGAGUUGCCAAAUCUAGUAGCUAUUUUAUUUCCUUCUUAUAAUUAAAACUUUUCAAUGUCACCUUUAGAAGGUAGCUGCAUGAAUCAAAUGAGUUAAAUCAAAUAGACUAAUUACUAUUGUUUGGCAAAAAUACCGAGUAGACCUUUUUAAAAAUAGUUAUUAUACUUUUAUUACAACAAAAUAAGCAGGGGUGAACCUAAAAUUUUUUUUAGCAGGAUAGAAAUUUAAUUAUAAUUUUUUCAUAGAUCAAAAUAUAAAUUUAUUAUGAAUUAAUUUAUAAUUUUAUCAUUUUUAAAGGGAUUAAACAGAAAUCAUUUCAUUUUUAUGGGGGUUAAAGUGUAAUUUUACUAUAUAUUAAUUUAUAAUUUCUUUAUUUAUAAGACUAGAAAAAAUUUUCAUGGGGGCCAAAGUACAAUUUUACUAUAUAUUAAUUUAUAAUUUCUCUAGUUAUAAAAGAACUAAAUUAAAAACUUUUCAUUUUUUAGGGGGGCCAAGGCCCUGCCUACCCCUUUCAGAUUAUUCGCCUCUGAUAAUAAGCCAUUAAACUUUAAUUUAUAACCGUUACCAUUAAUUUUUAACUUAUAUCCAAAUAACCCCUUACCAUUUUAUUUAUACUCAAAAUAAAAUUUAACAUAAAUAAAGGUGAGAGAGGGGCCUUGGCCUAUUGGUUAAAAUAGAAAAUUUUCAUUUAGGUCCAAAGGUAAAGCCAAAAAAUCAUUUUAGGGGGUUGGAAAUGAAUAAUAAAUUUUUGGGGAGACUAAUAUUGCAAUUUUAUCAUUAUAUCAACUUAUAAUUUCAUAAAUUUUGAAAAGAUUAAAAGACAAAUUUAUCAAUUUUUGGGGUUGUCUACUCUCCUGAGUUGGUCUCUAUUGAAAAUUAAUAAUUCCAUAAAAUAUAGCUUUCCUAAAUUUAUAAUUUUAGCUCGACCCUAAAUAUAAAAUUCUUUGCUUUACCCCUGAUAUUAAAUCAAAAGAUAGAAACUUAUUAUGUUACUAUAAGAAUAUAGGGAUUUAUUUAGCAAAAGCAAACUAUUUCAAGGACUUUUUUGGUAGUUUGCACUUAUAGUUGGUAUUAGUUAGAAUUAAGUGCCAAGAUUAAGUUUCCUUUGAGAUAUAUAGUUGGUUAAGCAAUUUAAUAUAAGUGGAAAUUUAGACCCCUAAGUUAUACCCUUCAUGCAUUUGGACAACUGUGUUGAGCCAAAAAAAAAAUUGCAGGAGUAUGAAGUUUCGUUGAUGCUAUCACGCAAUGCAUUUCUUGUGGAUAUUGUCCAAGAAAAGAUUGGCACCGUUCUGAAGCUUGAUUACAUUAAAAACGGCGAAUCAUGGAAAGGAUAUGACUUUCUCAUCUUCAAUACCUGGCAUUGGUGGCUCCACACUGGAAGAAAACAACCGUAAGCAAAACAUAAUUUCAGCAAUUAAAACCCGAUUUUUUAAUUGCAUCCCGAGUAGAUUUGUAAACAAAUACAACACUCGAAUUGGGUUGGGUUUGAACCGGAAUAUCAUUCCUAUAGUUUUGAUUAGACCUGUAGUUUAAAAGUUAAUUAUUUAUUUAAGUUUGAAAAUUCGUUUGAAAUUUAGAAGAAUAUUUAGAUAAAAAUAUUAGACUUCAUAAAUGAGCUUGAGUAAAAAAAUUAAACCCGUUUUUAAUAUGGGUUAAGCUUAAGCUCAAAAAAGUUAAGGAUCCAGACAUGUUGAUGAACUUAAAAUGAAUUUGCGAUAACUAUUUACAAAUAUUAGUAUGUUGGAGCAAAAUUUUAAGCCAUUGUUUGGUCCAACUAAAUUUAGGCAAAUAUAAAGUGCGUUAAUAUCAUGCUUAAAAUUGAUUCAAACUGAUCCCAACCCAUAACCACUUCUAAUUCUGAUUAGUUUGACUCAACCUUUUUAUUCUUUUAAAUACUUAUAAAAUCUCUUAUCCAAUUAUAUUUAUAUUUGAGCAAAAAAUGAUGUAUGUAUGUAUGUAUGUAUGUAUGUAACUUGAAAAAUGAAUUGGAUAUUAGAUGGGAUUUCAUUGAAUCAAGAGGAAAGGUGAAGAAAGACAUGGAUCGUAUGGCUGCAUAUAGAGAGGCACUAAGAACAUGGUCAAAAUGGGUGGAUUCCAAUGUUAACACUACAACUACCCAAGUGUUUUUUCAAGGCAUUUCUCCGACUCAUUUCAAGUAAGCUUUAGCUCUUCUCUUCUCUUCUCUUACCAUUUGCAUUAACUUCCUUGUUCUUAUUUUACUUAAAAGAAAUGGAAUUAUGAAAAAAAUUGAAAGCCAUUUUUUUUCCAAUAGAACUUAAUUCAUUUUAAUCCCAUCAGAUUUGGUUCAAAUUAGAGGUGUUUAUAAGUUGGUGAGUCAAUCGGCUUAGUUCGCUUUAGACUGCACUUGAAGUUAAGUUUUCAAGUUUCGAGCCAGAUUAGCCUUACUUGUUUUAUUAGUCGAAGAAAACUAUUUUUAAUUGUUUUAUAAACAAUGAAAAUGGACCAUUUAGGUAAGCUUAAGUUUGGAAAAUUUUUGAAAUUGGGCUUAAACUUGACUUGGAAAAUGAACACUUAUAGUUGAAAGAAACUCAUUUGUCAUAAAGCACAAAUACUUUUAUGAUUAGAGACGUUAAUGGGCUUGAACUUAAAUUUUCUUUUUGGUUUAAGCUUGGUUCGAGUUGAAAACUCGUAUUGUUUAAAAUAUUUCUAAUAUAUUAUUGUUUAAAAUAUUUCAUAAAUAUUUUCAAAAUGAAAUAUGUGUAAGAAUCAUAAAUUCAAGCUGUAGUGUUUCCUCAUAUAAAUUAUGAAUCACUCUAAAUAUCUCAAAGAGAAAAUGACAGUUCAUUGACAUCUAUAUAAAGAUUUUUUUUUUUAAAAUAAAAAUCAACAAGUCUCUUACGUUAUCCAUAUAUAAUAUGUGGAUGUACAAUUAUAAACUUCACCUCAAACAAUUUGGUAUUUUGAUCCACAAUUUUGACAGUGGCAAAGAAUGGAAUGGUACCAAAUCAACAACUUGCACACAUCAAAUCAGACCGGCUACCGAUUUAACGUACGAAAGUGAUCCACCUCCGGAAGUGACGAUCGUAAAGGAAGUGCUAAAAAACAUGUCGACGCCGGUGGUUUUGCUCGACAUAACCAGAUUAUCACAGCUGAGGAAAGAUGGUCACCCAUCAAUUUAUACUGGUCUAAAAGGAAAUGAUUGUAGUCAUUGGUGCCUAGCUGGUGUUCCUGAUACAUGGAAUGAAAUCUUAUAUGCAAUUCUUACAAGUAGGAAAACUUAAUUCAAGAUUAUAAUUUUUUUUUCAAUUUAAUGUAUUUAGUUAAUAAAAAUUAAUUUCCCAUUAAUAGAUGAAGAAUUUUAAAUUUAAUAACAUAGGUGUAGCCAUCAAUUUAAUGUAUUUUUUACCCGAACCCAAAUUAAGUCAAGCUCAAACCAAUGGAAAACCUACAAUAUUAUUCAUAAUAAUAUUGAAACUUUAGAUUUUUUUAUUAGUAUUAUAUAUUUUAAUAAUUAAUUUUAAAUAUUUUUAUUAAUAAAUAGUAUUCAGGUCGCGCCAGCCCAAUUUAAAAGAUAUUUAACUCAAUAUAAAUUCAACAUAUUAAAUGAAUAAUUCAAAUGUCAAAAUGAGCAAAGGAAAAUCUAGAGUUGUAAGCUUUGCAACUUUAAAUUGGACAUGAGAGUUUCUUUUAUUGGAUACAUGCCACAUUAUUUUUUAACAAAAUUCCUUUAUUUUAUCAAUUGAAUUUAAAUUAUUAUAUUAAUAAAAUUAUUUAAUUAUUUAAUUGUGUUUCAACCUUUUACAUAAAAUAAAAUUUUCUCUUUUAACUUUUUCAUCAUUUAAUUUUUCACUUUUUAAAAUCACCCUCAAUUUCAAAUAUAAAUUUACUUGUGUAAAAAAAAAUCUAAAUCUGUUAAUUGCAUCUAGAACUUUUCAGAGUUGGUCUUGUCAAAAUUUUAAGUCUAUUUGCUAGGCCCAAGUUUGGCCUAAAAAAUAGACUUAAAAUUUUGUCUAAAUUUAACCCGGAUAAAAUAUUAAAAUCAGGCUCGACUCAACUCACCUGAAUUAAUUUUUCUAUAAAAAUAUUAAAAAUAAUAGGUCAAAAUACUAAAAAUAUUAAAAUAAAUAUUUUUUAAUAAUUUAAAAAUAAAUUUAAAAAUAUUUAUACUUAGAUAAAAUUAACAAUAAAAUAAUUUUUUAAUGUUUAUUAAAAAAUGGGCCGGACCGGGCUCGGGCUUAUGAUAUUUUUCCCGGGCCGGGCCUGGAAAAAUAUCAGGCCCAUAUUUCGAGCCGGGCCAAAAAAAAUUUCUGGGCCCGACCCGGCCCAUGGACAGGUCUAAUCUUAGACCUUUUCAGUGUUGGUCUUGUCAAAAUUUUAAGUCUGUUUGCUAGGCCCAGGUUUGGCCUAAAAAAUAGACUUAAAAUUUUGUCUAAUUUUGACCCGAAUAAAAUGUUAAAACCAGACUUAGACUCAACCCACUUGAAUUAAUUUUUUAUAUAAAAAUAUUAAAAAUAAUACGUCAAAAUAUUAAAAAUAUUAAAAUAAAUGUUUCCUAAUAAUUUAAAAAUAAAUUUAAAAAUAUUUAUACUUAGAUAAAAUUAACAAUAAAAUAAGAGUUAUAUAAUAUAUAAAUAAUAAUAAAAUAAUAGUAACAACAAGAAAAUAGUAAUUUUUUGUCUUUUUGUUAAUUCAUAUCGGACCGGGCUUAACCCGGUUGAGAACGGUACUUAUAUUUGUACAAAAAAAAAAUCAAAAAAAAAUGUGAACGGUACUUAACCCGGUUGAGUCGGAGCUCCAUGACCCGAACAGCAAUUUAUUUUUCAAUUCUUCUUCGUUACGCAAAAAGGAAAAAAAAAAAAACAGCUCAUGAAAAUGGCAUGGUCAAAUACUCUGCUUCAGAUUCACAUCAAAUCCCCUUCGAUCCCUUCUCUCCAUUUCCCACAUUCCCUCCCAAAAAGCUCCCCAUUCCUUCUUAAUCCUAACCCUAUAAAUCCCAUUCCCAGAUCCCUCAGAAUGCAAUUCCUUCACAGACCCAACGCUGUCCCACUCGUAUCAAGAGCCAUGGACAUCAUCCAAUCGUCUCCUCCCACGUGGCAAUCCGCAGUCCUCAGUAACCUCUUGAUCUUCGUCGUCGGCACCCCACUUUUAGUGGCGGGGCUUUCUCUCUCCGGAAUUUGUGCUGCGUUCUUGCUUGGCACUCUCACUUGGCGCGCUUUUGGCUCCCCUGGGUUUCUCCUCGUUGCUUCGUACUUCGUUAUUGUGAGUUGCUAAUAAUAUAUUAUGAAUUGUAGCUGAAUUAUGGGAAUUAAGUUAAAUUUUGGAAAUUGGGUUUUGAUUUUGUAUCCAUCUGGUAUUAAAAGUUGCUUGCUUUGGAGAAUUAGCUGUCAUUGUUUGGUAGUAUGGCAAGGAAAAUAAACUUAAUUUAUGUCGAAAGGUUACUUUUUAAUUAGUUAGCUAUUCAAGUUUGAUUAGUUGUAUUUAGAGAAAUUGAUUGUACUAGGUGAAAUGAGAUCAAAAGAUUAACAAAAGUUACUUGAUGGUUUCUAGCUUUUUAGCUGAAAUAAAGUCCUGUAUGAAAUGAUAUAAUAUUUUAGUUUUCUAUUAUGGCUUGUUUUCCUUGCAAAGUAUGAAUCUUGAAUUAGUUCCUGCCUCCCUCUUCUAAUUCUCCUUACCCAUUUCUAGUUGAAAGUUAAUUGAAAUUCCAUGUGAUUUUGUGUUAUAAUUCCAGUUCAUAAUCUGAAUGGAGACAAUAAAUUUGGAUGAAGGAGCUUUAAGCAGUGGGAAAAAUCCAUAAUAAUUUGUAAUUCUCUAAAUCUCUAAACAAUCUUACAUCUCUUUGUCAUGCCUUUCAAACAUAGUUGGUAUAACUAUGUUCAAUUGUCUUAGCUAUUGUUUAAUCAUUUUUAAUUUUUCAUUCCCCCUGCUCCCCCAAAAAAAAAUGUUUGUCUGAGCAAUGAGUCUUUCUCAAAAUCAAUUUCCAAGGCCAUUUUAUUUGAUUAUGACUUUGUGAGUAAAACAUGUUUGUAUUUGUUAGGGAACCGCAGUAACAAAAGUGAAAAUGGCUCAAAAGGAGGCCCAAGGGAUUGCUGAGAAGAGGAAAGGAAGAAGAGGACCUGGGAGUGUAAUUGGGUCCAGUGCUGCUGGUUGUGUAUGUGCUGUUCUAACAAUAUAUGGAGUUGGAGGAGAGGCAUUUACACGUCUUUGGCAACUUGGUUUUAUUGCUAGUUUCUGUACUAAGUUGAGUGAUACAGUGUCCAGUGAGAUUGGGAAAGCAUAUGGCAAAACAACGUAAGUAGUGCAUCUCUGUUUGUUAAUGUAUAGGCGCUUUAGAUUAACUGUAUUAAUAAUUCUCCUUAGUUCAUUCUAAAGAAAGGAUAUUUCAAAUCAAGUGGAAUUUAGAUCCCUUAUGGUUCUUGCUAUAUUCGAGCUCUAUUAUUGUCAUAUAUGCUGGUGAUAAAGGUCGCUUUGACAUCCUAUAUAGAAACAAAAUUUGUGAGUGUUAAUAUUGCCUCAAAUCUUUUUUUUUUUCUUCAAAGGUUUAUGUCAAUUGCUACUCUCUUUUUUUUUUACUGUUAAACUACACUUUAGAAUUGCAAAUAUAAAGUGUGUGAUGUGCCAAAAUGAACAGGUACCUGGUGACAAACUUUCAGAUUGUUCCUAGGGGAACAGAAGGAGCUGUCAGUGUUGAAGGAACUGUUGCUGGACUUCUAGCAUCUAUACUGCUUGCCACUAUUGGUUGUCUAUUGGGUGAGGUAGUACUUGCUAUGUACUCAUACUAUGUGAAUAAUUUGUUCUGCCAUUCAUGAUACCAUUUUUUUUUAAUAACAAGCAUUAUUGUGAUCAUUACAAAAUGUUUACACCUUGUAAGAACCUGGAAUUUUUUCUAGUCUCUGCAACAAUAGACUAAUUGGUGGGGUGGUGCCUAGAUGGAAUGAUUUUGCAGAUAUAAUUUGUUGAAGGUGUUUUUCAAAGGGAACUCUUAGCAAAAUAGCAGAUCAUGAUAUAUUUAUAAAUUGAUUUUGACAUCUCAGUUUAGGCGUGUACGACCUUUGUGAGCAUUAUUUUGCUGGGAACUUAAAUUUCAAUUUAAUAUAGUUCAGGUAUUACAAUUUGGUAAAUUGGAUAAUAUUUUCAAGGGGAAGGAGAAUUAAAUUAGUUGAAACCGAUUUUUAUUGUUAGUGGUUUUUUGUAUGUGAGUGGAUGAGGUUGUCUCUCUAGCCUUGCUGCAUCUUUAGCUAGGAUUUUCUCAAAAAUCUUGUAUAUAUCCCUAAGGUUAUGGUGUUGUUCAUAGUAUUGACGCCAUAACCUCUAUACACUUUCAAACUGAAUAUGAUCAACAGCUUCUAGAGAAUGCAUAAAUGAAAUAUGGGUAUUUGAAUUUAUAGAGAUGUUCUAAGCUUCUGUUUUUUGCUUUUUCAUUUAUCUUUGCAAGCAGAUAAAUGUACCUGAGGUAUUGAUAUGUGUAAUAGCAUCCCAGAUUGCUAAUCUUGGUGAGAGCAUAAUUGGUGCUGCAUUCCAAGGGAAAGAAGGAUUUCGUUGGGUAAGGAAUCAUUUGAAUAAUAGGAUGGUUUCUGUCAUCCUGUUUUCUUAACCAUUUUUUCUUAAAUUUAGUGCCUAUGUAUCUUCUAGAUUUUAGUGUUACCGAUGAAUCAGGCUUGAUUCUAUAUGAAUGUAUGGUUUGAUGUGGUAUAUCGAUGAGAUGAUUACAUGUAUAUCAUUUUGUGGACUCUCAUCAUGUUUGGAUCUGGCUGCACUCCUAAAGCUGUAGUGAGGAAGAAUUAUAUACCCACUGUUUUGGGGUAAAGAAGAUCGAAGAGUAAAUUUAGAGAGAUCAGCCUGUUAUAAAACUGCCUGCUAAGGAUUAAUUCUAGUCUUAAUUUUCAUUCGAUGAAAUCACGGUAUUGUGCAUGUAAAAGGCUGUUAUGUUGGUCUGAUUCUUCUUUUUGCUUUGAAGUAUCCAUGUUCAACAUAUAGUCACACAAGAAAUAUGGAGAUAUGACCUUCAAGAUACAUGAUAAACUUUAGCACAAAUCUCUAUCAGACACUUACCUGAAUUUGAGCGAAAUAUCUGGGUUGGCCAUAUAUAAAUCUGCCUAGGAUCUAUCAUCUUAGCAUGUUUAUAUGCUUUUCAUUAUAAGGCUGAAACUUGGAUUCUUUUACCAUAUUGAUUUUGGUUUUCAUCUUGCAGCUGAACAAUGAUGCUGUUAAUGUCAUCAACAUAUCCAUAGGCUGCAUUUUGGCAGUCUUAAUGCAACAACUACUCCAAAACUGGCAAAUGUAAGUUCACCCCAUCAUCUCUUUUGCGAUGUCAGGUAAUUAUUGCAGAGUUCAUCGACACUGCAAUCGACAUAUUGCAAUGUGGGGAAAGAAAAGAAGAAGAAGAAAGAGAAAGUCUUCAAUGUAAUGCAAGAGAUGAGCACAAAGGUGCAACAAUUAUAGCAAUGAUUUUGCUAACCUUGAAAGAUACUCAAAUGAUAUGGAAAAUCAUUAGCAUAACCAUUUGUUCCAUGAGUAUAUUUUAAAAAGGCUUCUCUCUUUUAUAGUCUUGGUAUUCAAAGAUGUAUUCCUUUUAUCAAUCUCCAGUUAGAAAUGAAUUAGAUGCUUUUUAAAUUGCAUUUCUUAACCAAAAUUAUUGGCUUUUUUUUUAUUGUUGUUGAGCCGCACUGGAUUUAUGGGUGUAAUUGAAGCACAAGCUUGACUUGGAACUUUUAUGUUCAAAGUUCGGCCCGGGCCCAAGCUUGAGUUCAAUUAAGCCAUUUGUGAAUAUAUCAACCAAUUGUUCCUUUGUAAAGACAUGUCUAGUUUGGACUAAACCAUCUUGGAUUUUUUUUACAAGGUGAGAGUCAAUCUCUAUAUGUUUCGUUCUCUCGUAGUAUUCAGGGUUGGUUGCAAUCUGAAUUGCUGCUUGACUAUCAUAGAAUAAUAUGAUUGGUUCUACUCGUUUAAAUCCAAGUUCCUUCAGUAGUCCAGUCAACCAAACUAACUCAGCCAUAGUUCUAUACUUUGCCUUUGCUGAAGAUCGUGAUACUGCAUUUUGUUUUGUUUUGUUUUUUCCAAGAGAUGAGACUUAAAACUUCUGGAGGAUGGUCAGGAUGGGUGUUUGGUUUACAAGGUAAAGAAAACGGUGAAGGUGGAGUUUGUGAGGUUUUCUUUUUACCUUUCCCUUUGGAGGAGGAUGAAGGUUGGAUCAUGAAAUUUUCUGGAAGUUUUUCUGGUGGUCUAGAAAGAAUGUCUGCAAGAACAUUGGUUUUCCCUUUUAUGUGGAGGACAUUCUGUCACUAAUCGCUUUGACAUUGGACUUGAAGCCCAAUUCGAAUCACAAUAUGCUACAAGUUAUGGAGAACCAACUACAGCACAGAAUAAACCUUGUCCUGGAUCCUUUUUAAUGUAUCUGACUAUUCUAAGAGCAGCUUUAUAAUGCGACUUCUUGGGUCGUUGCAUAAACUGACUGGAUGUUGUACCACAAACGUCAUAUCUAGCCUUGUAUGAGUCAAGUACAAAAGCCUUCUAAUAAGCCUUUGAUAUAAUGAAACAUCUGUCAAUACCUCAUCAUCAUGAUUCAUUUGCACCAUCUCAUCUUACUGGAGAUGUCAAGUUUUGAUUUUGUUCUAAAGGAGUGACAACUAUCUUUCCUCCCCCUUACCUCGUGUCUGAAAUUAAUUCAAGAGCAUAUUUGCGUUGAUUCAGUACAAUUUCAAACUGUGAUCUUGUGAUUUCAAUGCCAAGAAAAUACUUUGAGAUCACCUAAAUCUUUCAUUUUGAAAUUUUGAUGCACAGUUCCUUUAAGCUCAUUUAUAAGCUUGGUAUCAUUUCCAGAAAUCAACAAAUCGUUAACAUAUAUCAACAUGACAACCAGCUUAUAACCUUUCUUCUUGAUAAAACGAGAAUAAUCGUACUUACUUUGUGAAUAACCAUUUAGAAGAAUAGCUUUAGUAAGCUUUAGAUUCCACUGUCAGACUUAGCAAUUGACAUACUCUAGUCUCUCUUUGAUUGCGAAAAUCGUCUGGAAGAGUCAUAUAAACCUUCUCAUGUAAAUCUCCUUGCAUUAUAGGCAUCCAUUUGAAACAAGGGCCAACCAAACUAUACAGCAAGAGCAAUGACCGUGCAAAUUGUGACUUGCUUCGCAACAGGGGAAAGUGUCAUGAAAAUAAAAAACCUGCCUGCUGAGUAUAACCCUUCCUAACAAGUCUGGCUUUAAAUCUUUCAACCGAGCCAUCAGAGCUGUACUUGACCUUGUAGACCCAUAUGCAACCAAUGGGCGUUUUACUAGGAGGUAAAGGAACUACCUCCCACGUGACAUUUGAUUCCAAUGCUUGAAUUUCUUGAUCCAUGGCCUUUAUCCAAUGUUUAUCCUUAAUUGCUUCACUUUAGGUUUAAGGUUCAAUAAUAUGGGAAAUGGAGGCAGCAAAAAAUUGUGUAUGCAAAGGUAAAUGAGCAUCAGCUAUACAAUUAGAUAUAGGGUACUAACCUUUAUGGAGUGAAGAAGAUAAAGAAGAGCAAUUUAAAUCUUUCAUCCAUGUAGGAUCCUUAAAAGAACGAGUAGUGCGAUGUAAAGACAGCUGGUAAGGUAGUAGACUACGAAGGUAAUAAGGACUGGUUGGGAAAUGGAGCUGAAGAACGACAAGGAGCUAAGGAUGAACAUUUCAAAUGGGAUUUUUCCAAUUCAAAGCUGAAGUAGGUAAUCUGUUAACAAUAUAACAAGCAGCAAGGAUACACUCGCCCCAAAAUUUGGUAGGUACAUUAGACUGAACUUUGAAAGCACAUGCUAUUUCUAACAAAUGUCGAUGCACACAAGAACUUUGAUGUAUUAUGCCUAAGAAGAAAAAAAAGGAGUAUAUUCAGAGUUAAAGAACUCAGUACUUAUGACUUCCAAAAGUUUUAACAACAGUUGAAAAUUGCGUGUGAACCAAGGCUAUAAACUGUUUCAAAAUGACAAUAGUGUCGGUUUUAAGCUUAAACAGAUGAACCAAAGAAAAAGGAGAAUCCGCUCGAGAAUAACUAAUAGGAAAUGGCAAUCGUGUUUGUUUAGUAAGAGGACGAACAUGGCAUGGACUAAUAUAGUCACUGUUCCAAAAUGAAAGAAACAUGGCCAAGUCCGGCAUGCCAAAGGAAAGACUGAUCAUGAGAUGUCAAAAAGGAAGAAAUGGGAGAAGAUACAAAAGAUGGCAAUUGAGGCUGUUGAUGCACCAGAAUGUAAAGAUCAUUCUGUUCUUUACCAAUCCCCUUCACUUGUCCACUGCAAAGUUGCCGUAAAAGGCAAAAAUCGGGAUAAAAGGAUACAAAACAAUGUAAGUCUCGAGUUAACUUGAAAACGAAAAUUAAAUUGAAAUGAAAGUCUGGGACAUGAAGGGCAUUGGUUAACUUGAUAGAGGAGGACAAGACAUAGGAACCCAUGUGAGUAAUAGGGACGGAUUUACCAGUGGGAAAUUGGACAAAUGAAGAAUGAAAAGUAAAAGGAACAAGAGAAUCCAAAUAUUGGCAAUCAGAUAUCAUGUGGUUGGUGGCCCUCGUCUCCAAAAUCCAUUGGAAAGAUGCAGGCCAAGAAACCAUACCUGCCAUGUGAGCAGCUACUCCAACAGUUGAAGUGAACUCAAGACUGAGUAAAUUCAAGAUCAGUAGAUACUGUGCCUGAAUAAACACAGGUGCAAAUACUAUGGUAGCAUUGUUAGUCAUAGUUGACCUUUGUUUUGUAAAUUUAAAAUCAACAGGAUACCCAAUAAGCUUCUAACAAGUUUCCCGUUUGUGACCUUUAAUCUUUCAAUGGUCACACACAUCUUUCAAUGGUCACAGAAUACAAUGUUGUAGGUUCAGAAGGAAAAGAUAUGCCAGAAGAAUGUUGUCUUUGAGCUUCCUCUUGAACAAGCACGGAAUUAGCUUAAUUAACAGAAGGUAAGGGUUCCAUUAACAAAACCUGACUUCCAACAACAGCAUAAGAAUCAUUCAGGCCCAUCAGAAACUGAAAUAACCACUGUUGUUGAAUAAGUUGUUGAUUCAUGCGGGAAUUUUCACAAGAAAAAGAACCAAAGCAUCGUAAUCCCACAAAAGCUUCAAUCGUGUAAACAAAACUGAAACAGAGUAAGUACCUUGAGCAUGGGAAGCAAUCUCACCAUGAAGAACCAUCGACUUUCUCAUAUCGUUCUUGAAGUUCUUUCCAUGUUGACAAAAAUAAACUGUGCGGUAUAAUUAUAUAAUUAACGUCGCUCAAAAUUAACAUAAAAUUUCAAUAUUUGUAAAUUCGAAUAAAGAAGGUGAAAUUCAAUUAUAUUACUUUAUAUACUCAGUGCUUUCUAUGUAAAUUAUUUUCAUUAUUUUAAAUAUAAAAUGUUUAUAUUAACAUGAUAAAAAAUAAAUUAAAUUAUAAAUUAAAUAAAAAAUAAAAUUCAGUUUUAGUUACAUUCAAAUACUCGAUUUUUGGGGUUUUCUGCGCCCUAAUAGUAGGAAAAGAAAAUUCUCAUCAAACCCUAAAGCCCAUAAAAGAAAAAGUGAGAAGUUUAGUUGAUCUAUCAGAAUCUCAAGCACUCACCCUUAAUUUGCAGUAAGUUGCGAGUCUGCAAUUCUUUAGACCCCUUUUCUCAAUUGAUUUUCUUCUUUAACCAAUCGUUUCUCUCGCGCUCUGUUUCUUUUAGGAUGGCCGAUGAACAUAUUUCCACAGUCCUGGAGCAGCUACGACGAAUCAUGGCCGACGAAAGAUUUCGGAACUCGGAGUUUCAGAUAAACUUGCUUGUAUGGAGACUCGAAGCUUUUCAAUCUAUGAUUCUUUAACAUGGGGACGGGCUAUUUUCGGUUCGGCUAUUGGAGCGUGGGAUUACUGUUCAUGCACUCGAUCAAGUGCUAUAUAACAUAGAAGAUGUAAUUAACGACGUCUUACAUUUAGGAGUAUCUACUGAAUUAGCAGCAGCAGGCCUUGAGAAGUUUGCUUCUACUCAAUCAAAAGCAGCAUCAGCAGAAACAGCCACUCUUUACAUCUUGCGCAAGAGGUUGGAAGAAUUGGAGGAGGUAUUGAUUGGUAAUCCGCAUGAAUCGCAUCCCUUGCACUCUAAACGAUCUUUUUUUGUAAAAUUGUCAAAGUUAUAUGGUCUAGAUGUGGUUAAGAAAGAUAUAAUAAAUGUAAUUUUGGGUGAAAGUUUCAGGGAUAGUAGCGACAGCAUUAAAACCAUCAUUAUUGUUGGCAUGGAAGGAACGGGGAAAACAUAUCUUGCGCGGUGCAUUUGUACUGAUUGUCAAGUUCUGGAAAUUUUUGACAACAUAAUUUGGGUGAAUGUUUCGGAUGAUUUUGAUUUAGGUAAAAUUGCAAGAAAAAUUAUUCUGUCUCUUGAAGGUUUGGAGCAUGACUCUUUGCGUCUCCUAACAUUAGUUCCAUUGCAAAGUCUGUUAGAUAGAAUUCAGCGAAAGAUUGUUAACAAGAAAUCACUUCUUGUUUUAGAUGGUGUGGGGAGAUAUGAUUGUGAUGAUUGGGAAGCACUUAGAGCUGUUUUUCAACAUGGCAUGUCGGGGAGUGGGAUUCUAGUGACUACUCAUGAGCACUCGGUUGCAGGAGCAAUGGAAUCAUCUUAUAAAUUUUGUUUGGGAAAGCUGUCUGAUGAGUUGUGUUGGAUGAUACUUCGUGAAGUUGGAUUGAAUGAUGAUACUCUUGAAUAUGCGGUAGAGGAUAUAGGAAGGGAACUUGCAAGGAGGUGUGAAGGACUACCCUUUGCUGCAAAGGUUUUGGGAGAUGCUAUACGACAUUAUGACUUUGGAAUAAGAGGAUGGGAUGUUUUUCUGAGAAAUUGUAUCUGGAAAUCUCCUAGAAUACCCAAAUAUAUGUCUAAAAUUCUAUCACUAUCUUAUUGCAAUCUACCUUUGUCUGUAAGACGGUGCUUAUCGUAUUGGGCUAUCUUCCCCAAAAGCUUUGAGAUUUCAAAAACUCUUUUGGUGCAACACUGGAUGGCACAAGGUUGUCUGUACUCAUCUGAUAAUUUAGAAAUGGAACUAAAAGGUGAAGAGUACUUUAAAUGCUUAGAAGCUCAUUCAUGUUUCCAAUAUUGUACCAGAGAUGGUGGUAUGCUUACUUGUAAGAUGCAUAGCUUAGUACAUGAUUGUGUCCAAUCUUUGUCCCCAUAUGAUUUAAUGAUGAGGUUCGAGUCUGUUAAACAGCUGACCUUGAAUUUAUCUUCUUGGACGGAGGAGGUCAAAGUUGUUGGCACUCAUCAUUUGGUAAUGAUGAUUGCUCAAGGAGCUGGUUUUCCCAUGGACAUUAGUGGUGCAGAGAAAUUGAGGACCCUUGUUGCUGUUACUCAAGGGUGUUUGAUAACUAGUCAAGCAUUAUCUAACUUAUUUAAACAAUCCAAACAUCUGAGGUUAUUGGAUUUGAGCUUGACUAGUGGGUGGCAUAAUUGUUUUGGGCCAUCCGGACAAGGUAAUAUACUAGAUGAAAUUCCGGUGGAAAUCUGCAGAUUGAUUAAUUUGAGGUACCUUAGCUUGGCUGGCAGCAAAGUAUUGAAGAUAUUACCAGAAACAUUGUGUGACUUGCAUAAUUUGCAAUCCUUGGAUCUUACUGGUUGUAGUAGUCUUAGAAAAUUGCCAGAUGGAAUGGGGAAAUUAAUGAACUUGAGGUAUUUUUAUACCUGGUGUUGCUCUAGUAUAACUUCCUAUCCAAAAGGGAUUAGCUGCUUAACUUCUCUUUGAGAAUUAACCAAUGUCAUUGCUAGAGCUGAUCACAAUGAUGCAAAGGAAUUCACUCUUGGAGAUUUUGAAAAGUUGAACAACCUUUGUGGACAUGUUCGUGUGAAACUGGUAGGGAAUGCGAUGGAUGCAGAUGAGGCUAUUAGAGCUAACCUUUGGAACAAGAAGGAUCUUGACCGUAUCAGAAUAAAUCUGGAUGGGGAUAUAGGGAAAGAAAGCCAAGACGUUAUAAAGAAAGCAUUAAACCCGCCUUCCGACUUGAAUAUAGAGUUCGUAGGUUGGUGGUUCUAGUCCAGAAAUGUAAGGAUGCUGCAAAGCAACAGGUAGUCUCUCUGUCUCAUUUUCUCUUUUGUUGUAGCUUUGAUGGUUCAAAUUCAGUAUUUACUCCUAUGAUUCAUUCAAACCCAAAUUUCAGUUGUGUUAUAGUAGUUCUAGUUUCUGUUGUUAUCAUCUGAUUAGAUGGAAUAUUAUGAAAUCUCUUAUAACAUUACAAUGACAAAGAUAUCGGCUUGUCUAUCACAUGAAAUUUCUCUCUUGCUAAAGCAUGCUCUGAAUGAAUCACUUUAAAACGGCAAGAUAACUUAGAUUAUCCUUAUUUUCUUUUGCUGGACAUACAUAUCCCGUGAGAGACAUUGUCGUUAUCGGUGGUACUGUAGUUAAAGUUGGAGUAUAUUUUUAGUAUUUUAGUUUUUAUAUUAGGAUUUAAUCAGUUAUUAAGAUGGAUUUUUUCUGGAAAAAACAUGGAUACUUUUUUCUAAAAUUUUUUAUUAACUCUUUUGAAAUUUGUUAAAUUUUUAAUUAUUUUUAUUAGUUUUUGAAUUUUUAUGAAUUAUAGGUAGGCUACCACACGAAUUGAUCACGUCAAUAUUGUUAAAAUUUUAAUAAUCUUUUUAAUUCAAAAGAAAGUAAUAUAACUAAAUUGUAAAGGUUAAGUGUAAAAGUCAAAAUGACAAAAUAAGUCAACAUUAAAAGAUUAAAUUUAUCACGAUGCCUUUUUUAUAUACUCAUAAUUAAUUAUAAUAAAAAGUUAACUUUAUUCAGAUAUAUUUGUUAUUUUAAAUAAAUAUUCAGAAUACAACUUGAAAAUAAUCUCAUGUUUAUAAUUAUAACACGAAAACUUUACUUACUAUAUAAUGGAAGAGUAUUUGGUAUAUUAACAGUGUGCCUUUUUUUAUUGCACAAGUAUGUGUAAAAGAUUGAUAUAUGUCUUUAUUUUUUAAUAUUUUAUUAUACUUUCUAAGACACUUGUCAAUCUUUUAACUUUGCUUAUAAAAUUUAAAAAUUCCACUAAUAAUCUCACCUAGCAAAAUGGAUUAAAAACAUUUAAAGUAAUUUAGUUGAAUUAUGAUAAAAGGUCAAUGUAUUCUAAAAUGCUAAAUGGCAUAAAUUUGAGUUUGUCAAAUUCUCUAGCAUUGGGAGGUAAGUCAAAUUGCAAACUAAGUUGAAUAUUUUUUGGCUUUUCAGUAAUCAUAUUCAUGCUAAUAUUUUUAGAUUUAAUUCUCACUUUCAAUAUUAAAAGAGGGUUCAAAUGCAACUUGGAGUCAACAUGAACAUGAUACUUUGAAAACCCUAAAGGGCACUUGCACUCUUGUUUUGGAGGUGAGGUUAAGAAGACCUACAACAAGUUUUAAUAGAAUUUGAUAUAGUUGAAAAAGAUUCAGAGGAAAAUGGUACCAAAAUCUACAGUCGUGGAAUACGAUGACUGUAUUAAAAUAUAUGAAAUUGGUUGAUGGUUUUAUUUAUUGUCUCUUAAUAUUUUAACUAAUCAAUUAAGUAGUAAUGAGAAGGACAUGACACUUAAUCAUUAUAGUUUCUAGUUAAAGUUUAGGAAGAUGCAUUGACAUCAAUUCACUAAUUUUUUAUGAAAAAUGUUUUUAACCGGUUCAUAUCCCCAAUACCAUUGAACGUUGAAUCAAAUGGUUUUGUUGAUUAGAGAAAGACACUAAGAAAUGUAGAGGAACAUGUAUGCGUAAGAGAGAAUUUGAGGCACAUUUAAUAAGUUAACUUUGGAAAUUUUAUAUGUGGAUAAUAGCAACGAAGAAAGAGACUGUUGAGAAUGAUCAAACUUGGAGCAUAUGUUUAGAUCCAUGUGGAGGUACCUAUUAGGUAAGUGAAACAAGCAAUUGAAAUGAUGGAGAGUUUAGUACACCGGUAUCGUACUAUGAUAAUUUAUGGUCAUUUUUAAUUAAUACAAGUCAAAAAUAAUAAUAUUUAAUAAACCUAAAAUUAAUGGGCAAAUAGUGAUGAGUUAUCCUAAAAUAGAAUUGAAGAGGAUAAGGUCCUACAAUUAAUAAUAAGAAAAGUGAAGACUCUUUGAAAAGAUUAAGGAUGUACUUUGAUUAAGAGUGGUUAUAAAAAAAAAAAUUGGGGGGAAGGGAUAGAGUGGAGUAAGGAAAGUGGUGUGAUUGCCCAUUAACAUAAGUAAGAAAUAUGCGAAUGAUUGCCCAUUAACAUAUAGAGUAGGUAAAAUUGACUUGUUUUUCUAGAAAGACAAUAGAUAAGCCUAAAAAGUUAUAAAAAGUAAUUGUUAAAAUAGUUAAAAUGAGAGGAAAAAAUAAGAUAUUUUUGUUUAUGAGAAUUAAGUGUCGUGAGUCGGGACGAAAAGAUUAAUCAUUGUUACGACAGUAAAUACCUUGAUUACAACGAAAAAGAUAAAAUACCAUUUUACUUUAUAGAAAAUUCUCAUGAUUUUAUAAAAUAUACCAUGAAUAUAUUAAAUCAUAUAAAAAGCGUAAUUCUAUAACUCAUACCUAAUUUAAAUACAGGAUGGUAUUUAGAAUGAUUAUAAGAAAAUGCUUGUUCAUGAAUGUUGUGAGUUUUCCGAAUCUUGGGGACAAUGUACCCUCUGGCUCCCGUCAGGAUUCACCUGGUAAUUUAUAAAAAGGAAUAAACAAUCACUUGGUAACUCACAACUCACAAGGCAUAAAAUAUAAUCACGUCAAGCAGCAAAACACAAACCUUUUUUAAUAUUCCAAUCUAAUACAAGUGAUAAUAUCAACUCUUAGAGCCCUAACUCUUAAAGUAUCAGCACAUAAUUUUAACCACUUACUUUUAAUAAAUACCACCAUCACUACCAUUAUCACCAUCGACAGAGCCUCUCAAUUCAUAUGUCCUGCAAAAAAUGGUGUCAACACUAACAAAAAAACCAAAAUUAUAUCAUUAAAAUAUAUUUGUAUUUCUUAAAAGGCAGAUCAUUCAGUUUUUCUGGACAAGUUUCCCUAUGCAAUCUAAUACAAGUGAUAAUAUCAACUCUUAGGGUCUGUUUGAUUGACGGAAUUGAUUUUCCGGAAAAUCAUUUCCAACUUUUCCAGCGUUUGAUUGGCGGAAAACAUUUUCCAUUUGGAAAAUGAACUCCAAAACAAGGGAAAAUGAGUUACAUUUUAGGGAAAAUGUCUUACUCUUUCAAUUUCUAUAAUUUUAGGCUUUUCCCACCUACCUCUAAUUACACAAAAUAUUUUCAGAUUUAAUUUACUAAUUUUGGCUUUUACAAGGUCAAGAUUUGACUAUCCCAUCAAAUGUCCCAAAUUUAUAAUUUGGUCCCUCUUCUCUUUUCCAUGCUUCAAUCUAACCCCUUCUUUGCUUGUUUUUGAUUUAAAGUGCCCGAAUUUUGUUCCUGUCAAUAUUUAAACACAAAACGCACCAAUUACCAGGGAUUAAUUUGAGAAUAAGUCGAGUUGAACACGUAAAUUAUGCAAAAUGAACAAGUUAUCAUUGACCAUUAGUGCUACGUCAGCACAAACAAACGGUGUUAGUGCAGAGAUACCAACCUAGGUGACAGAAUAUAAAUUCAGGUACCAAUUAGAUAAAAAAAAAUCAUACACCAAAUAAAUACUUUUGAAUAAGUUCGAAAAUAGACGACAAAUUAUCCUUUCUUUUCUCUUUUUAUCUACCUGUAAUAUUUGAAUAUGAAAAGAAGUUACACAACUUUUCAAUUUCAAUAGUAGUUAUUUAACUUUGCCUAGUUGAGUUUUACAUAAAAUUUCUUUCUUUCGUUGAACAUGCUCUCAAUGAAUCACUUCAAACCCCCAAGAUCCUAAUAUUUUGCAGAACAUAUCAAUUGAGAGGCUCUAUCGAUGGUGGUGGUGGUGUUAGAAUCCGUUUAUGCUGGUGGUAGCAUUUUGUAUUUUUUUUUAUCGUAUUUAUUAAAAAUAAGUGGUUAAAAUUACGUGUUGAAAAUUUAAGAUUUAGAGCAUAUCGCCACUCGUAUUAAAUUGUAAUAUAAGCAUCGAUUGUAAAAAGAAAAGUUUGUGUUUUGCUUGUACUGUCUCAUAAAAGACAUUAAGUAAUUUCGUUGUCGUGUUUAUAUUUUAUGCCUUAUGAGUUACCAAAUGGUUGUUCAUUCCUUUUUAUAAAUUACUAGCCGAAUCCUCUUCAGUGAAGGAGCUUGAAAAUUUUUUGGGAGGGUCGGAAUUAAAUUGUAUAUUUGUAUGAUGGUAAAAAUAGAAUUUUAUAAUUUUAAUAGCUUAUAUCUUUAUAAUUUUUAAAAGGUUAAAUCAAAAUUGUAUCAUUUUAAGAGGUCAAAGUAUAGUUUUACUAUUACUAAUUUAAAAUUUUAUAAAUUAUAAAGGGCCUAAAUUAAAAUUUACUAUUUUAAGGGGGCUAUGGCGCCUUGGGUCUCCACUACAUUAUGCCACUGAUCCUCAUGGAAGACAGAGGCUACCUUGACCCCCAAGAUUUAGAAAAUUGCCAUUUGACCUUUUUAAUUUUAUAAAAUUUUUAAUUUAGUUUAUUAAAAUUCUGUAAAUUUUCAUUAAACAAUUUUUAAAACUUUUAAUUAGAUCUCUCAAAUUCUUUUUGGAAAUUCUUAUUUUCUCAAUUAAUUUUUUAAUUAAACUAUUCAGAAUUUUUGAUAAUUCUCAUUAAACCUUUUUAAAAUUCUCGAAAUUUUAAUUAAAUUGGUAAAAUUUGAAAAAUUUUAGUGAAGGGAAUCCCUCCCACAUAUUGAUCAAGAAAGCUUUGAAAAAAUAUUAAUUAAUUAUAUGUUUGAGAGAUUAAUAAUGUACUAUUUGGCUCCCAACAAUAAUAAUUCACUCUUAAUUUUGCUUCUUUUCCCUUUUUCUUUUACUUGUUUUUGUGAAAGAUAUCAUAAUAUAUGUUUUAAAUAAUUAAUGUAAUAAUAGAAAUAUUAAAAAAUAUAGUUAAUAGUAACAAUAUUUUAUACAAGCACAAUGACUUAUUCAAUUCUCCAAUUUUACAAAAAGAGACCAAUAAGUGAUUAGAUGUAAUGACAGGUCACAUUGCAUUCCCAAAAGAACUGCCUAAGUUCGAACAUCAUAAGUAAUAUAAAAACUUAAACAAAGUCAUGUAACAACCCAUAUAUCAAGUAUCACCAAAUACCAUUUCAUUCUUAUUCCAUUGUUUAGUUUCUAUUUUCAAUCAACUGAAUAUCGUCCGAUGGAACUAUAGCAAAACGGGCUCAAAUACACGGGAAUAAGUUGGUCACACAAGUUGACAGUAUAUUAGGGCUGCUCAGACAAGUUGACAUUACAACAGAAUUGCUCACAUAAACUGAUAUUAUAUCAAGGUUAUUCAUCUGGGCUAAACCUUCAAUAUGUAUAACCCGAGAAUUUGAGACAAGCCCAAGAACUCAUCCUAUGUAAAAGGGGUGCCAAACCCUAGUGCAUAGUAGGGUAUGUUGCCGCCCCUUAGUGUUUUGAAUAAAGGGGAACUGUAGUAUCAUAUUAAAACAAUACUAUUUAAUUACUCAUUAUUCAAGUAAAACUUUUGUACUAUUUUCCUAAAAUAGGAUCUAUGAAAUGAUUUAAUUACACCUAUCGCUGUUAUUUUAUCAUAAAAUAGUGGUAAUUUGUUUAUAAGAAUAAAUUCUAUAUUCUGAAAAGCUCAAAGUUUUCGAUUUCUAUAUAGAGAAUUAACUUUCUCACUAAAAGUUCAUGAAAGAUUGGUUGAACUGGGCAAAAAAAUUGGUCGAAUUAGAUGCGAUUGAACUGGUUGAACUAAAAUAUUUUAAUAUAUUUUUAUUUUUUAUGAAUUUUUUAUGAUUUAUUUAAUUGAAUUAGACUAAUCAAUCAAACCAAUUGAAUCAAUUGGAUCAACAAACUAGUAACCUUAUUGGUUUGAUCAUCGAUUUAGUUUUUAAAACCUUAGAUUUCGUCAUACCGUUUCAAUUAUUAUACCUUAUAAAUAAAAUAUAAAGUAAACCAGUGGUGAAAUUAGGGGGAUUGGCAAGGGCCCUGGCCCUCCCUAAAAUGAUUUUUUUUUUCAUAUGGACCCUCUAAAAAAAUUAAAAUUUUAAAUUAAUAAAAAUAAAAUUAUACUUUGGCUCCCCUAAAAUAUAAAAAUUUGAUUUAAUCUAUUAAAAAUUAUAAAGAUGUAGUCUAUUAAAAUGGUGAAAUUGUAUUUUUCUAUCGUAAAAAUUACAAUUUAAUUUUAGCCCAUAAUUUUUUUUUUCUAAUUUCGCACCUGAAAUAAGCUAUAUUUGAUUAAAUUUAUUAUUUUACCUUACAUACAAAACACAAAAUAAACAUUUAACUAUACAAAAUUAAUUGAUGAAUUGUUUUACUCAGUUGAAAGUAGAACAAAUAAUUGAUCCAAGAGGAAAGUGAAAUUUAUCCUUUUAUACGUCGAACAUUAGCGAAAAGGACAAAAAAGAAAUUUUGGGUUAUUUGGCUUUUGUUUCCUGCUGCUCUCCUCAAUCCAUUGACGCUGUUUCACCCCCUUUCUCUCGAUUUCUCAAUGUUUCUUUUCCUGUAAUUUGUUGUGAUUUGAAGUAUAAAUCAGGGAGAAGUAAAAGCUAUCAUAAAAAUGGCGGAGGCAAUUCUUACGGUAGUCUUGCGACAGAUAACAACAAUCUUGAGUGACCAAGCGGUAAAAGAGAUGACGAUGUGGGGAGACCGCGAGGCUGCUCUCAAAAAUCUUGAAACAUAUCUGAAAUCCAUCCGAUCCGUUCUCAAAGAUGCAGAGGACCUUCAAAUUACAGACGAUGCAAUCAAACUGUUGCUAGAAGAUCUGAAAAUUGUAAUUUAUGAAAUCGAGGAUGUGUUGAAUUUAUGGAGCUGUAAAGUACGGAAGGCAGAAUCUGUUCGUGCCAAGGUAAAUUGUCUACUUGAAUUCAUUGCAUAUCGUCGUAGUUCUGAUAGAAUAAAGAAGAUUUGUGAAAAACUGAGUCCAUUUGAGCUGAAAAACAAGCUGGAUCUGGGCAAGAGUAAAAUUAUAUCUCCUCUGCGGAACAAAGAAAGUACUAGCUAUUGUGAUCUAUCAAAAAUUAUUGGUCGAAGCGGAAUAAAAACUGAGUUAGUGUUCCGUUUAGUUUNNNNNNNNNNNNNNNNNNNNNNNNNNNNNNNNNNNNNNNNNNNNNNNNNNNNNNNNNNNNNNNNNNNNNNNNNNNNNNNNNNNNNNNNNNNNNNNNNNNNNNNNNNNNNNNNNNNNNNNNNNNNNNNNNNNNNNNNNNNNNNNNNNNNNNNNNNNNNNNNNNNNNNNNNNNNNNNNNNNNNNNNNNNNNNNNNNNNNNNNNNNNNNNNNNNNNNNNNNNNNNNNNNNNNNNNNNNNNNNNNNNNNNNNNNNNNNNNNNNNNNNNNNNNNNNNNNNNNNNNNNNNNNNNNNNNNNNNNNNNNNNNNNNNNNNNNNNNNNNNNNNNNNNNNNNNNNNNNNNNNNNNNNNNNNNNNNNNNNNNNNNNNNNNNNNNNNNNNNNNNNNNNNNNNNNNNNNNNNNNNNNNNNNNNNNNNNNNNNNNNNNNNNNNNNNNNNNNNNNNNNNNNNNNNNNNNNNNNNNNNNNNNNNNNNNNNNNNNNNNNNNNNNNNNNNNNNNNNNNNGCAUCUUUCUAACACCAACAACAUUACUGCCAUCCUAAUAAACCAUAAGUACCAUUUCCACUCCAUCAUCAUCAUCAUCUUUCUGUUUUCACUUCUCUCUCAGCUAUAUGUUACUUUUUGUUAACUUCUAUAUGUAUAUAAUCUAAAGAAGCCUAAGCUUCUUAUUUAUAUACAAGCAGAACAUUUUGCAUCCCACUUAUUCAAUAUAAUAUAAAAAUAAUAUAUAAUUAAUUAAUUCCUCAAAAAUUGGAUCAAUCUAGGCUUCUUAUUUACGUAAAUUCCUUAUUGCAAAAACUCUUGGUAGAAAUUCGUUAGGAAAGGAUGAAUGGACCACAAGAAUGCUUAUCAACUCUUGACUUUGGCGUCCAAUGCUAAAUUUAUUUUAAAAUUUCUUCAUGGAGACAAGAUGGGAUGACAAGAAUGAUAAGUUUUAAGUCAUUUAAGUUUACACAAUUUUAAUCACUCAUAAAAACAAGUAUUGACAUUCUAUUAAAGAAUUUAAACAUGGCUUAACGUUGAUUUUAAAUCUAAUGUUGAUGUUAAUCUUGAAAAAAGAAUGGCCAAAAAAAAUAUGAAAAGUGAGAGGUGGACAUAAAAUAGUGUAGUUGGGGUUAUAAAAUUCUUCAUGUAGACAUAAUAUUUUUUUUAUGCCUUUUUUACACUUAUAUAGAGUUAGUCUUGACUUUGCUUUAUUAAUAGAAAUUUUAGGUCUUCAUUUUUUGUUUUAUUCAUGGACAUAAUAUUUUCUUAUUUUUAUUUUAUGGUCUAUGAUCGAGGUUUAUGACUAUCCCCUUUCAACAACGUCGUCUCAACUGUUCAAACAUACACUUGCAGGUAAAAUAAUACUUUUUAAAAUCACAAAUAUUUAAAAUAAUACAUUGCAGCUAUAUAAAUGCUUUCUUGUUUAAGAUACUAAUAAAGUAAUUAACAAAGUAAUUAUUAUACCUAUAAUAAUUCAAAAUGCCACUUGUUAUCUAAUGAAGUAUAGGGGUGUAAAUGAGACAUCCGUACCCGCAAGCUAUUCGAAUUUGGCUCAAAAAAUUUUGAAAUUGAUUCGGUAAUUAUUGAGCCGAGCUAUAGGUCGAUCCGGAUUCGAGCUUAGUAAUACUUGACUCGAGUAGUUUGAGAGCCUUAUUGAACUUUUUAUAUUUUUAUAUUAUUAGAUUACAUUAUUGCUAUUAAUAUAUAUUAUUAACCCUAAGUUUAAUUAUUGAGGCGAGCUCAAACUCGAGUACAAAAAUUGAUAAACAUAUUUAAUUUCGAGCUUAAAAAUAUAUGUUCGAUCGAGCAUCAAGCUUUGAAUUUCAAAUUAAACUUGAGUUUAACAGUAUUGAGUUCAAAUAGAUUCAAUUACACCCUACAAUAAAAUAUACCAACAAAACCUACAUUCCAUCUUUGCUAUAAAUUUUAUGUAUGUGUGUGUUUAACGUGAGUUCCAUCUAUGUCCAACUUGAUGACGAUGAAAGUUCCUAUGGUGUAAAAAGUUUUAGUUAUGUGGAAAAAUAAGGCCUUCUCUUCACACGUUUAAUAUGCUUACUUGUGUCGGUCAUUUCGAUCUUCACAUCAAUUUUCAAAAAGUUGGAAAACUUAUGUCUGCUUUUAUGAUUCUUUUAUGUGUGUGUUUAACGUGACUUCCUUGUGAGUUCCAUCUAUGUCCAACUUGAUGACAAUGAAAGUUCCUAUGGUGUAAAAAGUUUUAGUUAUGUGGAAAAUUGGUGGAAAACUUACGUCUUUUUCACUUGCUUUUAUGAUUCUUUUUACAUGAUAUUACUAUAUAAUUAAAUUGAAAUACUGAUAAAUUUGAACCCAUAUGAUGUAAGUCUAGGCAUCAUCUAAUUUAUUGAUAUUUAAUUAAUUAAUAUAUAUACUUUCAAUUAUAAGAAUUGAAACAUAACUUUCAAGUCAAUUGGAGUAUGCCCCUGUUACACGUCAAAAGAAGUAGAUUUUGAACUCAACAUGAACCUGUGAGAUUUGAUGCCUAAAAUAUAGGUAUAAGGUUUCAAUUCAUGGAAAUGUUGGAAAUCUUGGAAAUUUCUUAGUCUCCUCUCUUUGGAUGUUUUUGAACAAAAAUGUUUUAAGUCUCUUCCGAUGCUAAACUUCUGAUUGGUCGUCGGUUCACUGACCCUUUGGUACACAGCAAUAUGAAGCAUUGGCCAUUCAAGGCCAUUGCUGGUCCUGGUGAUAAGCCAAUGAUUGUACUACUAUAGAUUUGAAUAUUUGUACACAUUUGAUCGGCUCUUCGUAAAUUUAAAUCUUACAAAUUCGGAUAAUAUUUGAACUUUGAAUGUAUGUUUUGUUGGUGAGAAUAUAAAGUUGAUAAAGAUUUGGUAAAUAGAGUAAAAUAUUAUUUUUAUUAGAAAAAUUAUUUGGUACACUGCCAAUCGAGGUAAUUAAAACAUGUCAUUAUAAAUAAUAAAAUUAUGAUGACUCAAAUAUACGAACACGUCAAAAUUUAUGUACAACGAAUUAUUAACAUGUAAAUGUAUAAUACGGUACGCAAAAAUAAGAUAAUUGCUUGUUUUUUUAAUUGAAUUGUUAUAACAUAUUAUACAAAAUACAUUGUGACUUAAAGCAUAAAAUGAACUUGAUAUCAAAAUAUUAAAUUUUUUUUAAAAUUCAAUGAUACGAAUAAUUAUGUAAAAUAUAACAUGAUGCAAAAUAUCUUGAGAGGAAAAGAGGAAUAAAGAAUUGCAUUAUUUGUGAGGUUUUAAAAUAUUCCAGUUUUAGAUUCAAUUUUCUAGUAUGUUUGGUUUAAUUUUACAUUAGAUUUCCUUUUCAGUAUGCACUAGUGAACGCUUAGCAGUCAGUUUAAUUUAAUUCAAAGAGAUAUUGCAUAUACAUAAUAAUGGAUUAUGAUUUUACAUUAAAUUUCAUAGAAGAAAAAGAAAUAGAUGGUUGAAAAUGAUAAAACCAUAAGAUAAAAGAGCUUUUAUUCAAAAUGCAAAAAUCAACAAAAUAUUCAUUAUCGCUCAACUUAGCAUAAUUAAACAUUUAGGUGUGGAAACAAGUCACAAUUUGAGUAGCUAAACACAUUGCUUGAAAAUGUGAUAAGUAAGAAAAUUGCCCACAUUUGAGUAGCGACAUGUGGUGAAGCAUUUCCCAACGAGAGAAAACUAAGCUCUUCACCAGUAUGGAUUUAUGUAGAGGACAACAAAAAUUGUCAACAACACAACUACAUAAGAAACCAAAAAGCUCACAAAAAAAUCAUAAGUAUCUAUCAAACCAUCUUCUCCUUUAUCUUCUGAUACAAUUGAUAUCGCUGAUGGUGAAUCGGUUUUGGAACAACUUUUAUGCAAUAUAUCUCCACAACGAAAAGGAUUUCCCUCAUAACUGUUUUCAAUAAAGGUCCCAAAUUGAGCUUUUGGUUCGGGAAUACUACCUGACAAAUUGUUAUAUGCCACGCUGAAAACCUCCAAAGAGUUCAACUCUACCAAUUGAUUGGGGAUUUCACCACACUCAAGUUGUUGUAAGAAAGGUCCAAACUCUCAAUGUGCUGAAGUUUUGAGAAUGAUGAGGGUAUAACUCUGGUCAACUUAUUGUGUGACAAGUUUAAAGAAUGGAUUUCACUCAAGUUCCCUAAUUUUGGUGGGAUAUGACCAGUUAAGUUUUUGCAAGAUAAAUCAAUCCCAAUAAUAUAUGAAAGGAUGUUGCCCUUGUACGAAUAGAACCCACUCUUUGUUGUGAACUCUAUUACUUCUUCUAAGUAGCUGUCAGGGUUGUAAGGAUUUAUACCCCUUUCCCAUUUUCUCAUCACAAUGGAUGUUGAUUCAUCCUUUUCUAUAAAUGGAAGAUAGAACCCAGUUGCUAGACUCUCUUUCUCUUUCAGUGGAAGAGAUAAAUUUCCCAAACAAGAAGGUAUAGGACUAGAAAACAUAUUUUGAGAAAGAUCUAUGAUGCUUAAAGAAUGCAACUUGCAUAACUCAAUAGGAACUUUAUCAUGAAAAUGAUUAUCUUUCAGGAGAAGAACACUCAAAGAAGAAAGCGUGUAAAUCCAUUUUGGAAUACUACCUGUCAAAUUGUUUCCUCUAAGAUCUAAAGUCACUAUUGAAGAGUUAUUAUAAAAAAGCAAGUGAUAGUGUGCCUCUCAGUCUAUUCCCGUGGAGGUGGACAUGCUCUAUGUAUGGUGGAUUAAAACAUGACGGUAUAGAGCCAGAUAAAUUAUUUUGAGAAAGAUCCAAAAAUUCCAACCUAUUCAACUUUCAAAAUUCCAUUGGAAUAGAACCUUCAAAACCAUUGUUGGACAAAUUUAAUCUCCACAAAAAUGAUGCAUUCCCUAUCCAUCUUGGGAGCUUUCCAUGCAACUUGUUACUGAGAUCAAUUUCGCUUAGUGAAUUUGGAAACUCAAAAAGAAAUGUUCACACAAAGUUUUUUCCAACAUAUGUCUGUCAUUUGUGGGGUCUUGAAUUUAAUAUCAAUGGUUGAAUUUUCAUAGCUAAUAUGUGCGCAAAAGGCCUAGUGGGUGGAAUUUUAUGUCAGGAAAGCGUUUCUACAAUGACAUAAUUAAUUGCAUUACUUUUCAAAGAUUGACUAUUGACUUUGGUGAGCUUAUUAGGUUAAAUUCUGCUGCUGGUCACUGUUCUUUGUGAAAGUUGUAAAUUUAGUCUAUUUACUUCAAUUUGAUCAAUUUUAAUCCCUAUACAUUUUGAUUUUUAAAAUUUUAGUUGUGACCCAAACAAUAGAGUUAAAUCAAUUUAAUUAAAACCAAUUACUAGUCCUAUAUUAUGUGUACAAUUGUUGAUUUAGUCCAUACUCUCCAAUUGGAUCAUUCUAAGUACCUAUAUUUUUCAAAUUUUAAAAUUUCAGUCUUGAUGCAAAUGACAAUCCUUAGUCCGUUAACUAGAUUUUUAGUAACAUAUGAAAAUAAUAAGAUGAUAUGACAUUACAAAUAUGAUAAUAUUUUUGCGUUAAAUAUGUCAACAAUGACAUAAUUAAUUGCAUUAACUUUCAGACGUUGACCAUUGACUUUUGCUUCAACCUUGAGCUUAUAUAGCCCCUACAAUAAUUUAGGUUAUGGAAAUAAUCUUACAAUUAAUGCCUGAGAAAUUAUUAUAGAUCAAUUUAUAGUUUUAAUCCCUAUAAUUACUCAAUUGAAUUGAAGAUUCAGAUUUUCUUAUUUAAUUUGAUAUAUUUUCUUCUCUUAUUAAUGUUAAUGUUAUGGAUUAGUUUUUUUAAGACAACAUUAUUUUAUUCAAUGAAUAAUAUCAUACAAUUCGAGGAGAAAAUAACAAACACUCGUUGUACUCGUUAAAGGACAAGUUCCAUCAACACAACAAAACCUUUAACUUCAACAUUAAUAGAACAUUAUGGCAUGUUGAAAUCGGCUCUGUCACAACUCAAGCACAACAUAUCAGGAGUGAUUACAAGCACUUAAUAUGGUAAGAAAAUUAACCCCGGAUGGUCCAAAGCGGUGGGCAUAAAUCAGCAAAAGAACUGAGCAUCCACCAAACUAGAGGGGAUGCGGCGACAAAACUAACCCUAAAAUUACUCUCAAAAGCAAGACUAAAAAGCGUACUACAAGAGUAGACAAAAACUUCGAAAAGUAAAGACUUAUUAAACAAUGGAAAAAUAAACAAAAAAAACAUAUAAAACUUAAGAUAACAUGAGUCUAAACCGAGUCAUGAAAUUAUUUAUUAUUUUGAAACUCUCAAAACAUAAACAAAUUAAGAAGUCAACGAAGAGGUACCCACUUUCUAAAAGAAAGUGUUGGUGGUCGGUGGUGUUUCAAUGAUGAUAGGCAUUGUCACCUGUUCAUCACAACUUGUAAAGAUAACAAAAAUACCCACAAAAUAAAUCUGUAAAUUGAAAAGAACGAAGACUCAUGGAGUGAAUGAGAAGAAGAAAAAUAAAAAGGGUUAAUAGAGACAAAGCAGGGCGGUAACUAGUUCAGAGGCUAACACCGCUGCUAGGCUAAAAAAAGAAGAAGAAGCAAACAUGUUAUGGAUUAGUUAAAAUAACUAACAUCAUUGAAAAUUUCAUUACUUGGCUGAUUUGGAUUUUUUUUUUUAAAAAAUUGAAACUAGAAACCAUAAAUGAUCUAACAUUUAGAAACCAUAAAUUGGGUUCAAUUGCUUUGCUGUCCAACUCCAUCCAUCUAAAAUCGCAAGGAUGUACCCAUGUUCAAUAUGCAGUACAGACCCAAAAAUUGACCAUAUAAUGUGGCUCAAGAGAAUUUUCGAAUGGUUUUAAAGAAUUAUGAGAACACAAUGAAUAAAGUUAAGGCAUCAUUUAUUCAGCUUGCUAUAAUGCAGGUCAUUCCAAUAAAGAAGCAUUUUUUAACUAUAUUUUCCGUUACCCCAAUAACAAUGGCACAGAAUGUUCUCCGAUGAACAUAGAACUCACCAUUUUUAGGAACACGUGUAGUUGAGGAUGAGAAUUCGGAUCAACUGUAACUUCAAAUGGUGGAAUGAAAACAUUGUCCAGAAUAUUCUGAAAAGAUUUUUCAAUUCCCAUUUGCUUGUACACAUUAUACAAUCGUGGUGACUGCAGAAUUAAGUCAAAAUCAAGUGAAGAAGGUUACCUUUGACUUGAGAAAUAUAUCACAGAGAGAGAGAAAGAGAAAACAGUAAUCUGGAAAGAUGAUGCUUAAUAUGGACAUGAUACCCUAGAAACCGAUCGAUCUUAAAUUUUAAUUUCUAAAAUAUUAUUAGCUUGUGCAUACUUUCAAAUACUUUUCAUUAGAGUUACCAUAAGACUAAUUUUUCCAAUUUUAGAUGAUUCAAGAAACUAUUUGGGGGCAAUUCUUAAAUAAACAUGUCCAAACAGUAGUCAUUAACAAGAAAGCAUCCAAGAAAACCAGCAGUUAAUACUUAAAUUAACAUUAUCAAAUGGAGAUGUAAAGAAGAAAGAAUCCUACUGCAAAGCUAGAUAGCAGGAGAAUCACUAGAAUGAAGAGAAAUACUAUUGGCACUAUACCUGGAUUAACCAAACAGUAGUCUCACUAUAAAUUUCAUUGUUAAUAAACCAACUUGCCAAACUGGUCCCAUUCACUUUGUUUCCUUCCAUAUAUGGACACCCUGUACUCUGCCAUCUAGAAAAUAUAUAUAUUAUUCAGUGUAGUCAGAGGCGCAAGGAGCACUCUAGGUGCUAGAAUCCUUUUAUUGUACAAGGCACAUGGCGCACAAAAAAAAAAAAAAACUUGCUUAUGUUAAGGCACAUGUAUGCGUGUUUUGGUAUGUCCAUGUCUGUAUAUAUAUAAGCCGAAGAUAUAUAAUUAUAAUAAUAAACUAUAAAAGUGCUCCAGUCUGAAGUACAGAACAUGCCAAAUUUUCUUUCUUUUGUCAACCAUAUGCAUAUUUCCAUAUGAUGCCAUGCCUGGUGUUGAAUACUCAAAUAUUGAGAAGUUGAGAGUUCGAUAUUAUCCCUUUGUUACAAUUAAGAAACAAUUAAAGAGAUAGUAAAGAGAACUUCAAUUAGAAGGCCUUUUCCCCCUACAUGCACCAGGCAGGCGCUUAGCCUGAAAAGGUCAAAGGCCCUUUUACUGUCUGGUGAUAAGGCAAAAAACAUUGGACAAAGUUGGUGGGAGGAUAGAAUACUAAAAGAGCCCAAUGUUGUCACUUUUCUAAAGUAAGCUCAUAUGCCUUUUUUGUACCCAAACAAUAUCUUACCCUUUAAUUUGUACCUAAAGAAAUUAUUUCUAAUAGAAAGUUUACUUUUGUUAUGAUCAAUGCUGGAGGCCAAAACUGAUUUGGGCUAAGGAAUUGGUGGUGAGAGUUGGAAGGCAAGAAGAAAGAAAGUUCUUUUGAGUGUUAUAUUUUUCAAAAAAUACAAAUUGUUCAUUUUUUUUACCACAUCAUCAUGCCAGGUCAGCUUCCAUGUGGAUAAAGAAAAUUUUGGCGGCAUUGAAACAGAGGCUUCAUGGGCUUUUAGUAAUUUAGCCCUUGGAAGGAAUAUGACCAUCCAAAAAAAGGCAGUUGAUGCUUUAAGGUCAAUUAGCCGAAACAAUAACAACAAUUCCUAGGCUUCAAUAAAAUAAUUUAGACAACAAAUAAAGCUUGAAGGUUGAGUUUUGCACUGCAGCAGCAUUGGGCUUUACAAGGUGAAAACCCACAUUGCACAAAAAUAUCAAAGUUUCAGAUCUAUCAUAAUUUAAAAUUCUAACUAAACUAAACGCCAAGAAUGCUGAAUGCCUAAUCAAAAAACAUAAGAUUAACCCAAGGACCUAAUUGGGUAUGCUAAAAUUUGUCUUGGAAUGAAAUUAAUAAUAUCCUUACUAUUUCACUUUUUUUUUCUUCAUAUGUUUGGUGUGAGCAUGAUACAGAUUAGACUGAUUUUAAAGUAAAAGUAAAACGAUACCAAACCUAAACAUUUUGGUUUUUUUUUAAUUUUUUAUCAGAGCCCUGUUUGAUGCAUUUUUAGUUUUGUUUUCUAAUAACAAAUGGAAAGUUAAUUAAAAAAAAACCCUAAUCCAAUGAGUUCUUUUAUAGAUAUAAGAUAAGUCCUGCAAAGUUUUUGUUUUUUAGAAAUAAAAUUUUAUUUUUGUUUUUUAAUUCUUCAUACCUAUUUUAAUAUCUAAGUUCCGGAUUCCUAACUGCCCUUUCAAUUAUAUAGUAUUCAAGAUUUGAACUUAUAUUUUUCUAUAAAAAUAUAAUGUAUUUUAUUAUUGUAUCCUACAUUCAUUAAUACUUAGUAGAAAUAACCUAAUAAAAUGAUUUUUUUCAUAUAUUAAUAGAGAUAAGAUUCGUGCAAAAUUGUUGGUUGAAAAUUCAUUAGGAAAGGAUGAUUGUACGAAUGUACCAUCAUUAUAAGUGAGCUCAACGAUAAGCCUCCUAUCAAUCACCAGUGUGCAGAAAACAUUUGAAAUCGAAACACCCGUUCAUACAUCAUACAUCAUCAUAAGUGAGCUCAACGAUAAGCCUCCAAUCAAUCACCAGUCUACAGAAAACAUUUGAAAUCGAAACACCCCGGACAUCUCCAACAAAUCUGCCAUAACGUUAGCAUCUCUUCCAUUUUUUCUAAACAAAACCUCACUAAGCUCAUCAAAUGUGCCAAUAUUUCCAAGGCCUAGAUUUCUCAUUGAUACACCAAGAAAGCUCGACUAUGGAGUCGGAUUCAACCAUAAGCUUUCAGUCUAUAAUCCACUAGGAAUCCAAAAAGAAACACUCUCGAACACCUAAAGAACCUGAAACAUAGCAAUGACAUGACCCUUUGAAUUUCUAAGAACCUCACCUCACCACGUCGAGCUAAGAUUACCUAAUGUCGAACCUUCACGGUUAAACUUUUACCAGCCUUCACCUUACUCUUGAUAUGAUGAUUAUGGAUACUCCCUUCACAAUCCCACAAACACUCCCACCAAAUUGACUCAACAAAAUUUGCACCUAUAGGUUUUCUGUUUAUAUUUGAUUUUGUUCACACAUUGCCUAAAACUACUCAUGAUCCCUCUCCAACCUAUAAAUACGAGGAUAAUGCGCUUCAACGCGCUCAAACCCACGUCCUCCUACAUUAGCAACAAUACUCAUGUCAAUCGAGUUAAAACACAAUCAAUAGAUUUUUUUUAAAAAAAAUCUUUAAAUGUUAUAUUAUUAUAUAAGAAUUUGAAACAUGACUUCCGUAGGUUUUAAAUCUAAUGUUGACACUAAUCUUGAAUAAGUCAUUCCACUCCCAUCUUAACUAAUGGCCAAAGAGAUAUCAAAAGUGGGAGAUGGCCAUAAAAUUGUGUAGUUUGGGUUAUAAAAUUUUUGGGCAAACUACAUAUAUUAUCAUUUAAUUAUAUAUUUUUUUCAAUUUAAACACUUAAAGUAAAAAAUUUAUAAUUUAAGCACCCACAUUAUAUAGUUUAGUUAUUUUGAUCACUCCAGUUAAAAUAAAAAAUGGCAAACUGAAGCGACAAUUAAAAAAAUGUAUAAUAACAAAUUUAACCCUCAAAUUUUAUAUAUUAUAUCAAUUACAUAUUACAACUAAUUUUAUAAUUAUUGAUAUUGAAUAUGUCCCUCACUACGUUAGGGAUUUUUUUUAUAAUUUGUAUUUAAUUAAUAUUUAAAAUUAAUUUCAAAAUAUGUGAAAAUUUUAUAAUUAUUUGGUGUUAGUCCCUUUAUUAUACCCAAAUUUAGGAUUAAGCCCCUAUAUUUUAAUUUUGACAUAAUUUGUUUCUUUCACUUUUAUAAUCUCAUUAAUUAUUUCAAGUAACUAACACUUUUAACAAUAUUGCCAAAUAAAAUAAUGUCAUAUUUUUUUUUCUUAAAGCCAUCACUUCUAACUAAAUCAUGACUUAAUCACUUUCUAAUUAAUCAUACUAACUUAGAUUUUUCUUUUGUUGGAAUCAGUACGUUUAAGGAAAACCCACCUUAACAUUUGUAGAUGUCUUCAACAAUUUCCUAAGCACGAUACAAUAAAGCUUGGUGUGUAUAAUUUUGUUUUAUGGAAGCUCCAAAUUAUGUUGAUUCUUGAAUGAUACGGUCUGCAUGGGUUUGUUUUGGGUGCUAUUAGUGUACUAGCACAGUUUGUAGAGGAUAAAUAUGGGAGAUUAGUAGAAAAUUCUGAUUAUGUUUUACAUGUGCAACAAGAUAAGCUAUUGGCUUCUUGGUUACUUUCAACUGUUAGUGAUGAAAUCCUAGCCUAUCUUACUAGUGCUCGUACUAGUUAUUAUAUGUGGGAAACUAUUGAAAAGAAGGGUUGCGACUAAGUCCACGGUAAAAUUGUCCAGUCAUGUGUUGUAUUCACAGAAAAAGGGUCAUUUGUUUGUUAAAGAAUAUUUGUCUAAGAUCAAGUCCAUGUGUGAUAUGUUGGUUGCAACGGGUUGUUUGAUUUCAAAUCAAGAAAUGGUUAGCAUCAUUCUUGCAAGGUUGCCAGUUGAGUGUGAAUCAGUACGGGUAGUAGCUUCAGCUACUGGUGUGUCACUUGAUCUGUUGAUUGAGAUGCUGCUUGAUUGUGAAGCUCGAAAAUUGAGUUCUUGAAUAGUGUUCUCGUACAACCUAACAUAGCUAGUAAACAAGAUUGUGAUGAGGGUGAUCGGACCAAGGGUUCUGAUUAUAACAGUGGCUAUCAAGGGAACAAACAGACAUAUAUAGGUGGUUUUCAAUGCAAUAGAGGUUCCAUCGAGGUUGAGGCCGUGAGGGUUGUUUUUCUAACAAUCGGCCCCAAUGCCAGUUGUGUGGUAAAAUUGGACACAUUGUCCAAAAGUGUUAUUACCGUUUUGAUGAAAAGUUUUGCAGGUAUUGCUAGGAUGGUAAUAUGGUAUAGUGGGCUGCAUCUUGAUUGUUUGUUUCUCAUGCUGAGGCUAUAAUUUUAAUCAUACCUAUUAUUGUUUCUUGUGUCCUGCAAUUUCAUCAUUUGCAGGCUGUUUCACUAAUUGCAUCCUAUUUACAAGUUCCCUUGUGUUAUCCUCUGCGCUUGGGUGGUUCUCGCUCAUAUAUUAAUGACCAUGCGUCUUCAAUAGACCAUGCAUCUUCUGAUUUGUCAUUGGAUACAACACUUUCAGCAAAUGUAAAGCCGGUAGAAUUUCCGCUGUUUUUAGAAGGUCAAGACACGACAAGAGCAGCAUAUGCUGUGUUCUUGUUAAACAAGGUAAGCUUUUGCAUAUUAGUAAUUUUUUUUUCCAAGAUGAAUUAUUCUCCUUUGGCAUUUUAUAUUAUAUAAUUAGUCACUACAAAACAUAAAUAAAUAAUAAUACUCCAUUUUUACAAUAAAAAUUCACUAAAGAAAAUACAUUUGAAGUCUAUCAUUGCUUUUUCGAAUAAGAGUCGGUCAAGAAAGUUAUGCGCAAAUACUUAUAUCUUUAUUUCAGAUGCUUUCAAUUCUAUUGUCACUUAAAUCCAAGUACUUUAAAUUUGUCAAAUUAUUCAAUUUUGAAAUUCAAUCCCAAAUAUUGAUCAAUUAUAUAUAUUCAUGAUAUGAUAAAAGCAAAGACAUCUUUCAACAUUAACUUUCCCUUAAACAAAAAUUGGUUUUAAAGUAAAAAAGAAACAUAUAAAACCAGUCUAGCUUGAAUAUGAAUCAAUAUAUAAACACUAUACUUAUACCUUGGUUUGAGAUGCUUUCAAUAUUGUUGUCGCUUAAAUACAAGUAUUUCAAGUUUGUCAAAUUAUUCAAUCCCAAAUAUUGGUUAGUUAUAUAUGAUAUGAUAAAAUCAAACUUGAACAUACAUUGAUUUUUAAAGUUGAAAAUUACUUGUUAAUUUUUUUUCUUUCUUACCUAUAUGAAAAUUUUACUAAAGUAAAAGUUGAAUUACAACGGAUAAAAAGAAUGGAAAACUAGGUACCAAGCCUAGAAGACCAUCCUCAAACUCCACUAUACAAAUAAAAACUACUCAAACUCCACUAUACAAAUAAAAACUAACACCGGACCAAACUUAAUUUACCUCUUAGAUGACUUGAUCCUUCAAACUGGUUGUAUGAUAGAUCUAAAUACCGGAGAGAUGAAAGCUCACUCAAAGAUAACAAAAUGCUAUCAUUCAAGUAAUUGUAACUUAAGUCAAGGAUCUCCAAAUUACUCAAUGUGAAUGAUAGCUUUCCAAAGCCUGUAGAAGUGUUCUUUUAAACAUAUACAAGCAGUUAGUGACUUUUCUUCCAUAAAAUAAAAUAUAAGUAAUUGUAAAUUAACAAUGGUGAGAAUAGUGGAAUAGUAAAAGAUAUAAUUAAGGAAAAAAAAUAAAGGCACGACCUUCAUUUUCAAGGUUACCACCUAUGGCAUUUCCCGACAAAUAAAGUCUCUUCAAUUCCUCAAAAGGAAGAAACAUAGAGGCAUUGAGAUACCAGACAAUGAGAUUCCUAUUAUCCAUGCCGUAUUCCCAAUUGUCUUCCCAUUUUGUAGAAAUAAGGGAGAGUUGUAUGAGUCUCCUAGUGGUGGUGUUACACUCAAAUCCUUCCCAUUUACAACAAUCUGAACCCUUCACCUCAACCCAACUUUGCAAUGGAUUACGAUAAACGAAGAAAGGCUUGAGAUGCAAGAGAGCGAUUCUCUCAUGCUCCAAACAAGCAUCAGUAGUACACCAUCUGCAUCCUUCUAACACCAACAACAUUAUUGCCAUCCUAAUAAACUAUAACCAUUUCCACUCCAUCAUCAUCAUCUCUCUGUUUUGUAUACAUAUGGACUACAAUUCAAGUUUCAUGCUUAUAAUUAUACCAAAUCAAAGUUCAUGUAUCAAAUUGCACAUUAAAUCAAAAUUUAUGUAUACAUUUGAUAUUUAUCUCAUUUAUGGGAGAUUAACUUUCUAAUGGUAUUGUUUUGUUUACAUUAAUCCAAAUAAUAGGAAAUGAUGAAUUAGUUUAACGCAAAUUGUAAUUCUAUUAAUGUUUCUUCUCAAACUUUUGGUUGCUCUUAUUUACAUGUUUUAUUAAUUGAUAGAUUUAAAUUCUUGGAAUAUAUUCGGUUAGAAUGAAGUGCCCCGAAUCCUUAUUUAAAUAAAAUACAGUGUUAAAAUAAAAGAAAAGUAAAAUCCCUACAGAAUUAUACUUCUUUUAUUUUAUUUUAGAAUAAGGCUUUUUAAAUCUUAUUAAACUCCAUCUAUUUGAUAUUGAUUAGAAUAAAGAGUUUCACUCCUAUUAGAAUAAAGUUUUACAAGCCUAUAAAUAGACAUAGUCUACUCCUCUUGUAAUUAAUUCAAAUUCGACAUAGUGAAUUUUCUUCUCCUCUGCCCGUGGUUUUUUCCCGAAAGGGUUUCCACGUAAAAUUUGUGUGUUCUUUAUUUUUCUAUUUCUAUUUUCUUUGUGAUAUAUUAUCAUUACCGACAUUUAUUUUCACAAAUUGGUAUCCGAGCUUCUGGGUUGUUCAUCGCAAUCACUGUAAUGACGUCUUUGAAGUAUGAAAUUCUACUGUUGGAUCGCAACACCAGAUUCGCAUUUUGGCAGAUAAAGAUGCAGGCAGUUCUUGCACAGAUGGACUUAGAGAAAGCCCUGCUAAGGUUAGAUAAGAUGCCUUCAACAUUGAUGGAGGAAGAGAAGAAGCACAAGGAUUGAAAGGCGUUAACACAAUUACAUCUGCAUUUGUCUAACGAAAUUUUGCAGGAUGUGAUAAAGGAGAAUACCGCCGCUAGAUUAUGGAAGACGUUGGAACAACUAUGUAUGUCGAAAACUCUAACUAGUAAGCUGCAUAUGAAGCAGCGUCUUUAUGCUCAUUGUUUGGAGGAAGGUGCGUCUAUGCAUGAACACUUGACAGUGUUUAAAGAAAUUCUCUCAAAUUUGGAGGCCAUGGAGGUUCAGUAUGAUAAGGAAGAUUUAGGGUUGAUUCUACUUUGUUCGUUGCCCCCGUCUUAUUUAACCUUUAGAGAUACAAUUUUAUAUAAUCGCGAGUCUUUCACAGUUGAUGAGAUUUAUAAUUCUUUAACCUCGUAUGAUAAGAUGAUGCAUCUUAUGGUUAAAACUGACUCUCAAUGAGAGGGUCUCAUUAUUCGUGAGAGAUAAGAUCAGAAUAUUGAUGAUGAUCAUGGAAGGACACAAGAACGGAAUCCUCGUGGUAAAUCUAAAGGUAGAUCGAAGUUUUCAAACAGAGGUAAAACUUGUAACUUCUGCAAGAAGAAAGGGCACAUUAAAUCUAAGUGCUAUAAGCUACAGAAUAAGAUCAAAAGGGAGACUGUGAAUCAAAAUGGAAAACAACCAGAAAAUUUUGGUAAGGCUAAUGUUGUAGAAUACUACAGUGAUUGUGAACUUCUAGUCGCUUCUGUCAAUAAUUUUAAAGUGAGCGAGGAGUGGAUCCUUGAUUCGGGUUGCACCUUCCACAUGAGUCCCAAUAGUUAUUGGUUUACAACUUACGAAAUAGUGUCUGAAGGUGUUGUUUUAAUGGGAAAUAAUACUUCAUGUAGAAUUGCAGGUGUUGGAACAAUUAAAGUUAAGAUGCUUGAUGGAGUUGUCAGAACACUUAGUGACAUAUGACAUGUUCCAAAAUUGAAGAGAAAUUUAAUUUCAUUGAGUACUCUUGAUUCAAAAGGGUACAAAUACACAGCUAAAAGUGGUGUUUUGAAUAUUUCUAAAGGUUCCCUCAUUGUGAUGAAAGGAUAGAGAAAGACUACCAAGUUUUAUGUUUUGCAAGGUUCUAUUGUUACUGGUGAUGCAGCUGUCGUAUCCUCUUCCUUGUCAGAUGAUGAUAUUACUAAACUUUGGCAUAUGCGCCUAGGGCAUAUGAGUGAGAAUGGCAUGGCAGAAUUGAGCAAAAGUGGACUUCUUGAUAGGCAAUGAAUUUGCAAACUGAAGUUCUGUGAGCACUACAUUUUUGGGAAGCAAAAGAGAGUUUGAUUCACCAGAGGAAUCCAUAACACAAAGGGAACGUUUGAGUAUAUUCAUUCUGAUCUGUGGGGGCCAUCCAGAGUACUUUCGAGAGGUGGAGCUAAUUAUAUGCUAACUUUUAUUUAUGAUUUUUCCAAAAAAGUGUGGGCGUUCUUCCUGAAGCAGAAAAACGAUGUGUUUUUUGUAUUUAAGUCUUGAAAAACCAUGAUUGAAAAACAAACGGGAAAGUAAAUAAAACACCUCCGCACAGACAAUGGCUCAGAGUUCUGUUUUGAUAAGUUUAAUAAAUUGUGCAAGUCAGAAGGGUUCAUGAAACACUUGAUAGUUCAUCAUACUCCACAGGAAAACGGCGUUACAGAAUAAAUGAACAGAACGAUCAUGGAGAAGGUUCGAUGUAUGUUGUCAAAUACCAACUUACCAAAGUCAUUUUGGGCUGAAGCAGCCUCUACUGCAUGAUUUUUAAUCAACCGAUCUCUAUCCAUUGCCAUUGAGAAAAAGACUCCACAAGAGGUAUGGUCUUGUAAUCCUGCUGACUAUUCUGAUUUAAAGAUUUUUGGUUGUCAUGUGUGUGUGCAUGUUGAUAAUGGAAAAUUGGAAUUGAGAUCCAUUAAAUGUGUUUUUCUUGGUUAUAAAGCUGAUGUAAAAGGGUAUAAGUUAUGAUAUCCUAAAAAUAGAAAAGUUGUGAUUAGCAGAUAUGUUAUUUUUUAUGAAACUGCUAUGCUACCUAACUUAUCUCUUAAAGAAUCUCUCAAUAAAGAAAAUCAAAAGUAGGUGGAGCAUCAGAUUAAUACAGAAUCUACAACAGAGUCGACUACUGAAGCCAGUACAAAAAUUCAAAAUAGAGUUGCUCCUUCACCAUAAUACUCUAUCGCCAAAAAUAGAACUAGAAGAGAAAUUAGACCUCCAAAGAAGUAUGUCAAGUCUGAUCUAGUUGCUUAUGCUUUAAAUGUGGCUAAAGAUAUAGAUGUAAAAUAAGAGCCAUCUAAUUAUUCUGAGGCGAUUAGUUGUGAAGACUCAGAAAAGUGGAUGUUUGCUAUGCAAAAGGAGAUGGAAUCACUCCACAAAAAUAAAAUAUGGGAUCUUGUGAAACUUCCUAAAUGUAAAAAGAUUAUUCGUUGUAAAUGGGUGUUUAAAAAGAAAGAAUGGACUCCAAGAGUUGAAGAACCCAGAUAUAAAGCAAAGUUUGUUGCAAAUGGUUACAGUCAAAUUCCAGGAGUGGACUUCACAGAUGUGUUCUCUCCAGUUGUGAAGCAUAGUUUGAUUCAAGCUUUACUUGGUAUUGUGGCCAUACAUGAUUUGGAGCUUGAACAGUUAGAUGUAAAAAAUGCUUUUUUGCAUAGAGAAGUUAAGGAGGAUAUUUACAUGCAACAACCAGAGGGUUUUACAGUCUCAGAAAAAAGGACUAUGUUUGCUUGCUGAAAAAGUCUCUUUACAGUUUGAAACAGUCACCAAGACAGUGGUACAAGAGGUUUGAUUCAUUUAUGACUUCUCAUGAUUUUAAAAGAAGUAGCUUUGACAGUUGUGCUUACUUUAAGAAAAACAAUGAUGGUUCUUUUGUGUAUCCACUCUUUUAUGGUGAUGAAAUGUUGAUAGCAGUGAAAGAUAAAUGAGGGAUAAGAAAGGUCAAAGCCCAACUAAGUGAAGAAUUUGAGAUGAAAGAUUUGGGACCAGCAAAGAAGAUACUUGGUAUGGAGAUUCUCAAAGAUAGAAAAGUAAGUAAAUUGUACCUAAGUCAAAAGGGGUACAUUGAGAAAGUUCUUUGCAGAUUCAAUAUGCAGAAUGCUAAGCCUGUUAGUACUCCUUUAGCAGCCCAUUUUAGACUUUUAUCGGCUUUGUCUCCACAAUCAGAUGAUGAGAUUAAGUACAUGUCACAUGUUCCAUACUCUAGUACAGUGGGAUCUCUCAUGUAUACUAUGGUUUGUUCACGUCCAGAUUUAUCAUAUGUAGUUAGUGAAGUUAGCAGAUACUUGGUGAAUCCCGAUAAAGAACAUUGGAAAGUAGUUCAGUGGAUUUUAAGAUACUUACGAGGUACUACUGAUGUUUCCUUACAGUUUGGAAGAACUAGAGAUGAAGUCAUUGGGUAUGUUGAUGCUAAUUUUGCUGGAGACUUUGAUAGAAGAAGAUCUCUCACAGGUUAUGUCUUUAUAAUCGGAGGUUGUGCAAUCAGUUGGAAAGCCACUUUGCAAACUACAGUUGCUUUGUCCACCACUGAAGAUGAGUACAUGGCGAUUACUGAGGCUUGUAAAGAAGCUAUUUGGUUGAAGGGACUCUUUAGUGAACUCAAUAAAGGCUUUCAAAUCAAUACAGUAUUUUGCGACAGUCAGAGUGCUAUCUUCUUUACAAAAGAUCAAAUGUUUCAUGAGAGAACAAAACACAUUGAUAUUCGGUAUCAUUUUGUUCGUGAUAUUAUUGCUUGUGGUGAUAUUGUUAUGAGCAAAAUUAGUACUCAUGAAAAUCCUGCAGAUAUGAUGACUAAGUCACUUCCUAUAACCAAGUUUGAGCAUUGCUUAGACUUGGUUAGUGUUCAUUGUUGAAGUUAAACCCUUAAGGGGUUUUAUGGAAUAGGUGGAAAACUUGAUCGUUGAGAGUUCGCGAUGAAGAACUUGUUCAUUAAGAAUUCGUGUCAAUGUGGAGAUUGUUAGAAUUAAGUGACCCGAAUCCUUAUUUAAAUAAAAUACAGUGGUAAAAUAAAAUAAAAGUAAAAUCCCUAUAGAAUUAUACUUCUUUUAUUUUAUUUUAGAAUAAUAUUUUUUAAAUCUUAUUAAACUCCAUCUAUUUGAUAUUGAUUAGAAUAAAGAGUUUCACUCCUAUUAGAAUAAGGUUUUACAAGCCUAUAAAUAGACAUAGUCUACUCCUCUUGUAAUUAAUUCGAAUUCGACAUGGUGAAUUAUCUUCUUCUCUGCCCGUGGUUUUUUCCCGAAAGGGUUUCCACGUAAAAUCUGUGUGUUCUUUAUUUUUUCUAUUUUUAUUUUCUUUACGAUAUAUUGCUAUUAUCGACAUUUAUUUUCACAUAUUCUAAUUAAUUAGAUAUUUCCUUCCUUCCAAAAGCCUUUCAAAAUAGGUUUAGUUUGACCAAGAUACUCUUGUAGAAAAUUUUAGUUUUGUGGGAAAACGAAAAACUAGAUUUAUUUUUUAUUCUAAUUGGUUUCAUAUGCAAGGUAUAUAAACUUUUGUGUCGCUGCAAUUUUUUUCCAACAUAUGUAUGUGAUUUGUGGGGUUUCAAUUUUGAAUUUUUUUUAUAAUUUAAUUAAAUUGUGAAAGUAUUUGAAAGUUUUUAAGUUGAUACAAUGUUUAGAACUACCCCAACACCCACCCAACCCUUAAAUAGGAGGAUAAACAUGCUUCAGCACGCUCAAACUCACAUUCUCCUACAUCUAUGAUAAUACUAAUGCCAACCGAGUUAAGACUCAACUAGCCUUGAAUUUUGAAUUUUACUUCUGAUAUAUUUUGAAUUUUGAAAUUUUAAUUUUGACCCAAACAGUAGCAGUUAAUUUAAUUUGAUUAAAUUUAAUUACUAGACCUAUAUUAUGCGUACGAUUAUUGAUUAGUCUAUACUCUCAAAUUGGGCAAUUCUAAGUACCUAUACUUUCUGAAUUUUGAAAUUUCAGUCUUGAUGCAAAUGACAAUUGUUAAUCUAUUAAUUAGAUUUUUAGCGAGUAAUAUGUAAAAAUAACAAACUGGCAUAACAUUACACAUAUGAUAAUAUGUUUAUUGCACCGCAUUUGAAAAUAGCCGAAUUUAACAAAUAUCGUUAGUGAGGAUUGGAAAUUAGAGUCUAGGGAUUAAAUCCACAAGUUCAGUAAAUUACAAGAACUAAUGGUAGAAUUUAACCUUUAUAUAACCUUUAAAUUCUAACCGUGGUUUGCACACUACUCAGCCGACCAUUGGCUGUGGUGGGAACACAAACUGUUUGAAUUUGACAUCAGUGAUUGAAUUUUCAUAGCUAAUAUGUACGUUCCUUCAAUUUCUCCAUAGGAGGGAGUGGAAUACAUUAUAUAAGGUAAUAUUUGAUAUAUUCGGUAAAUGAAUAAUUGCAAGAUAUCUCAUUAUCUAGUAAAAUAAAUAAUGAAAAUUUUAUAAAUAAAUAUUAAUAAAAUAUUAUUACAUAUAUCAACAAUGACAUAGUAAGUUGCAUUAACUUUUAGAUGUUGACUAUUGACUUUUGCAUCAACCUUGAACUUACAUAGGCCCCUACAAUAAUUUAGGUUAUGGAAAUAAUCUUGCAAAUAAUGCUUGAGACAUCAUUAUACAUCAAUUUAUAGUUUUAAUUCUUGUACUUACUCAAUUGGAAUAAAGAUUUAGUUUUUUAUUUUCUUUUGAUACAAUGUCUAGAAUUAUCCAUAGCCCUUUUCCAACCCUUAAAUAAAUGAAUAAUGUGCUUCAGCGUACUCGAACUCACAUCUUCUUACAUUGACAAAUUGCUGAUGCCAAUUAGUUAAUGUUAAUGCUAUACUUUAGUUAAAAAUAACUAACAUUAUUAAAAAAUUCAUUAGUUGGCUCAUGUGGAUUUUUUUUCAAAAAAAUUGAAAUUAAGAACCAUAAAUUCUUUAAGACUUAAAAAUUAAAAUUAUGUGGUUAUUAAAAAAGAUUUAUUUUUUAUUAAAUUAUUAUUUAAAAUAAAUUUAUCUCAUCAUAAUGAUAUGAUUUUUUUCUUUAAAAAAUCCACAUUAACCAACUAAUAGAAUUGUAUAAAGCUGCCACCAAUCUCUUAGCAUGAUGGCAAAAGAUUCAGAGGCAGCCAGAAAAUCUUUUGAGGGGCGUGAAUAAAGUUAUAUAUUUUUAUAAUAGCAAAAGUGAAAUUUUAUUAUUAUAAUAGUUUAUAUCUUUAAUUUUUAAAAUAUUAAAUAAUUUUUUUCUUAUUUUUGAGGGGAUAAAGUAUAAGUUUAUCAUAUACUAAUUUUAAAAUUAUAAAAAGACUAAAUGUGAAAUUUUUCAUUUUAAGGGGUGGGGCCCUGUCAGGUCUCCUUGGCUUCACCUUGAUAAAAGUAUUAUGUAAUACGUAUAAAGUUUGAGUUUAAUCCCAAACAAUCUCAUUUCUUAUCCCUCAUUAUAAAAUAAUAAAAUAAAUAGAGCAAUUGAUAUGAGGAGACAAGUAUAAUAGGGCAAUUUUAACCUGGGCCAGAUUUCAAAACAAAACCCAAACCAAAUAAUAAAAGAGUCCAAAAUAAUUAAAACAAUCCAUCCAUUUUACAAACAAACCCAAAUUAGCAGCCCAAAUACAAAUUAAAACUCAAUAACCCAAAACUAACUAUAGCCCAAUUAGCUAAACACUUAAACGCAACAAAAAAAACCCUAUCCCCCUAAGCCUCCAACGCUGCAUGACCACCUACGCCGCACGUCGUCGCUGCCGCUCGAGGCUCGCCUAUCUUCGACCAUCCACGCAUCUGACACUUGCAAAACCAAGGCAACACGCAACAACAAAGGCCAAAUAGAGGAAACAACAAGGAAACAGACAAAAAAGGAAGAAACAAACAGUUUUGAUUCGGCUAUAAAAGCCCGAAUCUCACCCUUGUAAUUUUUUUGCGAACAUUAGAAAAUAAAAAAACAAAAACAACACUUUCAAGGUGAAUUUCUACUUUUAUUUCUGUUUUAAAUACUUAUUUGAUUCUAUAUUCAUAUUUUUAUUUUAUUUUUUAUAUAUAUACGAAAAUAAUAAAAUAAAAAAAGGAAGAAAGGGCUCACCGGAGACGCCCCGUGAUCGUGCCGUCAGAAGGCUCUUCUCCGUUGUUGCCAUCGGAUCCGAGAGGGGGUCGAGAGUCUUCCUCUUUCGCUUUUUUGGGUCGAGAGGGCUGGGCUUCCAAGGGAGCUGCGAAACGGGGGCUAAAAAUGCCCUUUUGCGCAACACCGACCACCGGCCACGACAGCACUACGACGGCGACCAUGGCCGGCCAAGGGGUGGGCUGAGAGAGAGACCAAGAGAUACUGAGAGAGUUCUCUGUUUUUUUAGAAAAAUGAAAGUUGAACCGUUUUUUUCUUCUUUUUUUUUGCUAUUUAUAUAGGGUAUAAUACGACGCCGUUUUGGACUUAAGCAUCAGUGGCCAAAACAAUGCCGUUUUGCAUCAGACCUGAAAAUCGACUCGAAUGCGGCCAGGAUCUGCGCGUUUUAGCUUUGAGGAGCUAUUUGCAUAUUCAGCCCUUCCGCUUUUGUAGUAUAGUGCAAUCUGGUCCUCGUUGUUUUUAUAUUUUGGCCGCAUAAUUUUUUGAUUGUUUUACUUUGGUCCGAGCUGAAACGCUGCGCAUAGGGGCUAGGAAUAUUGCCCAGUCGGUCCCUCAUUCCUUAAGCGCGCUCUAUUUCAGUCCCUAGCAACCCUUUUUUUUAUUUGUAAUUUAAACCCCAAAUUCUGGGUCGAUUUUAGUAUCAUCCUUAGUCCAUUUAAUUUAUUUGUUCACUAUUUUUUAUUUAAAAAACUCUUUUAUUAUUAUUUGUUUUAAGUUUUUUUAUUUAUCAUUUAUUUUAAAUUGUUUUACAUACUAUUUAUUUAAAUUUUUUAUAUAUUAGUCAUUUUAAACCAUUAUAUGUACAUUAUCUUUUAAAUUUUUAUAUACAUAUAUUUUUUUUAAAAAAAACUGUUGUAUGUUUCUUAUUUAUUUAUUUUAAACUGUUAUUAUUAUUCAUUUUAAGUUUUUAUAUACUGUUUAUUUGAAGCCGGUUAUUAUUUAUUUUUGAAUUGUUCUUAUAAAUUAUUUACUUUAAAUUAUUAUUUACUUUGAAAUUUUUUUGCAUAUUAUUUUGUUUUGUUUUUUUUAUUGUUAAUAUUAGUAUAAAAAUUAUAUACAUUGUGUGAUUAUUACCGCCAUGUGUACUAUAAUUAGUUUCUUCGUGUUUUCAUAUUAUUAUCACUCAUUAACAUAACAUUUUUUUCAUAAAUUGUUAUUUUAUGUUCUAUGUUAUCAUUCCAUUUCACUUCAUCACUUCGAAAGUUGCAUUCAAUUUGUAUUUACCCAUAAUAAACCGUUCUAUUUUGUCACAAAUAAAACAAAUGCACCUCGUUCAAGCAUUGUACUCACAAUUAUUCAAAACGGGGAAAAGUUUUAAAAUAAGACAAUAUUUCGCAUUUUGGAGAUUUGAGAAAUUGUACCCUAACUUACGGGGUUUCAAUUUUCUCGUUGAACCUAAAUAGCAAAAUAUCCUUCUAAUUUUCAAAAUUUACGAAAUUCCAAUAAAGUUAAAGGCUAGCUUAUUCUCAAGGGUUCUAAGUGUCGUGUCCUAACUUACGGGAUGUGACAUUUAUUAUCUCGAGACGAGAGGAUCUUUGACAUUCGUUUCAAUUUAUUCAAGCAAAUUCUUUUAAAUUAAAAUAGCGUUAACAAAAGGGGGAUCGUGUUUUAAAUUCUUUCGAAGUUUUUCAAUUUUUAACAUUUAGACAUUAAUUAAUCAAUUGAAUACCAAUUUUGGGCGUGACGAGGGUGCUAAUCCUUCCUCGCAUGUAACUGACUCCCGAAUCCGUUUUCUCAAAUUUCAUAGACCAAAAUCACUGUUUUGAUAAAUUAAAAUAUUUUAUUAAAACAACUAAAUUAUGAGGUGACCUAAUCACACCUCAUAAAAAAAAGAUUGGUGGCAACUCUCGUUUUAAUUUCCAUUUUCAAACCAACGUCGACCCUUUUAAAAAAAUGGUUUCAAUAUUAAGUUAUAAGUUGAAUGAAUUAAAAAUAUGUGAAAAGUGUAAAUAGAGACUCUUCAAUCUCAUUUCCUCUAAUGCUCUUUUUUUAAAUUUUUUUUUAAAUUUUUUAUGUACCUUUUAAAUAGUUAAUGAAAAUAAAAAUAUUUUGAUAAUUUUCACUUCGAAAUGCAAAAGCCAACAACAGUUUUUGACUACAAAAGCGGUGUGUUCUUCAUCACUUCUCAGUGGAAAAACACUUCUGCAAUGUAACAACACUUUUAACCCAAAACGGCUUUUUCACCACAAUAGAGAAUGCACCCUAAAAUUGUAAAUAGAAAAAAGAAGGAUCAAACAUUGUUUCUACCCUGUUUUUGUCUCCUCUUUGAAAAUACUUUCCAAAAAGUUUUAUCAUUUUUUUUUCUGUUUACAAAUUCCUUAUAGAAGUGCUUUCUUUUGAUCCACUUGCAUCAUUGUAAUAAGUUUGCAUUGCCUUCUAACUUUCUAUGUUGAUUACAGUUUAUUAAGUUUUCUGUUGGAUCUUAUAGUCAAAUUCCUUUACAUCAUGUAUGUUAAUUUGCUUAGCCCUGAUAAAUGUUAGAUAUAGGGUUAUCAGUGUCGAAACCACUUUUUUGGCGAACAAAAAUUAGUUGUUGACUUUAAAAACGAAAGUUGGAGUCGCCAUCGAUCCUUUAUUGGGGUGUGAUCGGCUCACCUUAAAAACGAUUUUGGUCUGCAAAAUUUGAGAAAACAGGUUCGGGAGUCGGUUACGCAUGAGAAAGAGUUAGCACCCUCUUAACGCCCAAAAUUGGUACCGAAUUAAUUAAUUAAGGUCUUAAUGCCGAAUAUCGAAAAUCUGUGAAGAAUUUAAAAAUACGAUCCUCCCUUUUUGUUAAUGUUAAUUUUAUAAAAGAUGCUUGGAUAAAUCGAAGCGAAUGCUAAAGACCUUUUUGUCUUGGAAUAAUAAAAUGUCACACCCAAUACGUUAGGACAUGACAUUUUAGUCCUCGAGAAUAAGCUUGUCUUUUGAUUUUCAAAGCUCGUGCGGUGAAGUUUAAAAAGGAUAUUCAAUUGCUUUAACUCAGAUGAAAAAUCGGAGCCCAAUACGUUAGGGCACAAUUUCUCAAAAUUCCGAGCAUUGAAUAUUGCCCUUAUUAUUAUUAUUUUUAAAAUCUUCAUCUCGAGAAAAUGACAUGUCAUAUCCAAUAUGUUAGGACACGACGUAUCGAAUUUUCGAGAAUGAGCUUUUUAUUUAUGCUUUAAUUAAAAAAGGAUACCCGGUUUCUUAGAUUCAACGAGGAAGAUUGGAAUCCAAUAAGUUAGGACACAAUCUUUUCGAGGAUCCUAAAUUCCGAGUGUCGCGUUAUUUUUGAAAAAAAACUUUUUGAAUAAAAAUGCUCUCGAUACUUGAAUGAUAUUAAACGUAACCUUUUAACAACGAAUAAAAUGCGACGGGACGAUAAUGUAUAACGCGGAAUGACGAUUUGUAAACAAAAUAUACUCUAACGAAUGACAAAUAAUCAAUAAAAACAAAUAAACAUUAUCAUACAUAUAAGAGCAAUAAUCACAUGUAAAUAUUAACAUCAACAUUUGAAAGCUAAUGACCUAAAAGCCUAUCGCAAAUACAACAAAUUUAAAAUAACUAAAAAAAAAGCAUGAGAGAAAAGAAAUUUGAAAUUAUCAACAUAUAUACACAAAAUACACGUAUAUAAAAAUUUAAAAGAAAUAAUUAAUAGGAAGACUUGAAAUAAUUUAAAAAUAGAAUUAAAAAUGAAUAAUAAUAUCUAAAUGAAUUUUAAAAUAAAUAUUAUAAGAAGAAAGUCAAAAUAAAUAAAACCCAAAAUAAUACACAUAUAUUAAUCUAAAUAGGUAAUAGAUAUAAAUUACGUAUUAUAAAAGAAAACUAUUUAAAAAGGGUAAAUUCUAUUGGAUUAACAUAAAAAUAUAAAAUAAUUUAUUAUGAAAUUAAAUAAUAAUAUAUGAUAAUAAUAUAAAAAAACUUAAAAUAAUAGUGCAUAAUAGAAUAAAAUAAUGAAUAUAAAAAGGUUAGAUAAAUUGAUAAAAAAUAAUACUAAUAAUAAUAAUAGUAGCAGUAAUAAUAAUAAUAAUAAUAAUAAUAAUAAUAAUAGUAAUAAUAGUAAUAAUGAUAAAUUAAUAUUAAAGUAAUUAAUUUGAUAGCAAAAAUAACAAAACAGAUUACUAAUUUGGAAUUAAAACAGAAAUUUAGGGGUAAGACGUGCAAUAAAAUGAAAUGAAAAGGACCUAAUUGAAAUUAAUUUAAAAUCAGACUGACUAGCAAAGAAAUUAAACGCACAAGUCUCACCUGGCAAUCAAGUCAGAUCAUCAGAAACGGCGUCGUUUCGAACGUUUGUCUCCUCAACUGACAGAAGGACGAAAUUGAAAGAAAUAUCGAAUUAUGUGGCAAAAUUAAAAAAGACAAAGAAGGAUUAAAAUGAAGUAAAUAAAAAACAGAAGGACCAAACAGGAGAAUAAGCCAUUGAAACAAAACACGCGGAUCCUCCCCGGGUCAAAUCGGAUCAUCGGGUCAACCAACACGGAGACGUUUUGAAGCCAUUAAAUCGGGCUUAAACGGCACCGUUUUAUUAUCGUUAAAAACCUAAAAAAAUAAAACCCUAAUAAUUUGUUUUGCCAUCCUAAAACAGAUCAAGAGCCUAGCCUUCUCCCCACCGGUCUCCACUCACGAACCCAAUCUGACUCCGAUUCAGACGGAGCAAACCAGAUUCCAAUGGCGUCUGCUCUGGUAAGACGCUUCUUCUCUCCCUCUUUUUUUUUCGUUUGGUGCCAAAGAAGAAAACAAAGAAUCAAAGAAAUAAAAGAGAAAAAAAAACGAAGAAAAUCACCUUUCGAAAAAACUUUCUGUUUUGAUUUUUUGUUUGUAUUCAAUAUGCGUAAAAAAGGAUUACAAUGGCCUUCUCCCUCUUUAUAGCCGAAUAUUCGAAAUAAAAUGAAAGAAAAUACAAAAAAUUCUCUCUGCUGCGUUGUUUUCGUCUUCUUUGCAGGUAAGGAGGCUAGCUGGCGUAAGGAGGUGGUGGACGUGGCACAGCACACUCGGGGAAGGCCCUGGUGGCUGCGGCGCUGGAAGGAGGGCUGUUGCAGCUAGGGUUUUCUGAUUUUUUUUUGGGCUAGGGUUGGGUUGAUAGUUGUAUUGGGCUAGGUAUUUGGGCUGGGUGUAGUUGGACUAGAUGUAUCUGACUUUGGGUUUGUACCGGGUCACUGUAAAUGGGUUUGGUUUUUGUUGUUAUUGGGCUGUGAACUAUUUGAGUUUUAAUUAAUUUUUAUUUAUUUGGUUUUUUAUUGUGGGCUGGGCAAAUUGGGUAUUACAAUCAGCUAAUUAGGAAAGACUGUGAUGAUAGUCACACCUUACAUCCAAAAGCAAAGCUUUUUUUACAUGUGUAUGUAAGGUUGCUAAGCAAAUCUGGUGAGCCUUCACUGCUGUUUUAAGGUUAAGUUAAUGUUCCUUUUCGGCAAAGAACAUUAUCGAGAUCACGGUAUUUUGAUCGCCUUUUGCUUCUUGUUAUUCGUUCUGAAACGAUUGCAUAAUCUUUACUGUGAUUGCAGGAUAUAGAGCAACUUUUGAAUUUCAUCGCUGUAAAGUGUUUAGGACCACGACAUGUUCUUGCAAAUUUGAAGAAGCUUCUAAGGUCUGUCCAGUCUUCAGAAUAUAUAGAUACCUGAAUUAAUUUUGAUUUUGUAGGAUCAACUAUAAUUAGCUACUUAUUAGAGUAUGAAUAGACAACCUCACCUUCUUCACACACUGACACGUGCGGAUUUUUUGCCAAUCCCAUUUCAAAGGAUCACACUUUUUUGUUGUUUACAGAAUCAUAAUUAAUGUUAAUUAAAGUGGAAUAUUUCAGAUUUCUGAUGAUGAGCAUAUUCUUGAGUAUUGCAGUAAAAAAAUGGGUGCGGAACUUAUUUGAACUUUGAAUGUAUGUUUUGUUGGUGAGAAUAUAAAGUUGAUAAAGAUUUGGUAAAUAGAAUAAAAUACUAUUUUUUAUUAGAAAAAUUAUUUGGUAGACUGCCAAUCGAUUUAUAAUUAUCAUGACGCAAUAUUAAGGGUAAUUAAAACAUGUCAUAUUACAAAUAAUAAAAU
RNAcentral lists this long non-coding RNA (68757 nucleotides) under Gossypium barbadense (sea-island cotton). Its description in RNAcentral is "long non-coding RNA (GBAR_LNC013894)". The record is from RNAcentral. Lineage: Eukaryota; Viridiplantae; Streptophyta; Magnoliopsida; Malvales; Malvaceae.